Molecule: long non-coding RNA, 55819 nt
Filed under: Triticum aestivum (bread wheat)
Lineage: Eukaryota; Viridiplantae; Streptophyta; Magnoliopsida; Poales; Poaceae
Description: long non-coding RNA (TAES_LNC018257)
Source: RNAcentral
UUUUUUUUAAAAUGUUUGUUUUUUAAUAAAAAAAUGUUCGAAACUUUAAAAAAUAUGCGUGUUUUCAAAUAUUGUUUAUGAAUUCAAAACAUAUUCAACAAUCUCCAAAAAUCUUCUUGGUUUUGAAGAACUAUUUAGAAUGUCAAAAUAAUGUUCUUGUUUUCAAUUUUUUGUUUCAAAUUAAACAAAUGUUCGUGUUUUUGGAAAAAGGUUGGGAAUUAUUAAAAAACACUUUUAGUAAAUUGUUCACUAUUUCAAAAAAAAUGUCUCCAUUUUCAAAAAUUUCUCAGAAAUAUGUUUUCCCCUUUUUUCAAAAAUGUUCAUGUUUCCAAGAAAUGUUCUCUUUUUCCCUAAACUUUUUUUAAAAUUGUUGAAAUAAUCGAAUUAGAAAUUUCCAUAUUACUUCAAAAAAUGAACGAAAAUGAAAAAUAAAUUGGGGAGAAACCGCUAAGUGGGCGGACGUGACAAUACCGACCCGAAUUACUCGCUACCGCGACCAUCACUAUAGUCCUUUGUAAAUGGGCCGGCCCAUCCGUGGCCUCCCUUGUCUGUUGGGGCGCUGUUGGACUGUGAGAGCGUCGUAUAGGACCCCCCCUAGUGCGAGUUCCACCUUAAUCCAAUUGCCAAAAUUUUCUUCCCUUAUGUCUAGACGUAGAACUAAGAAAGAAAUAGAUUUGACUAUCAUCACCACCAUCAUCAUCAUCAUCAUCAUCAUCAUUACAAGUGGCUAAACUCUGGCGUGUGAGUAGGUCCCCUCUAAGAUGACCUCGGUACCAUUAUAUAGCAAAACUUAUGAAAGGCAUCCAUGUCGGCGUGUGGGGUGUACAUGAGUUAAAGUCAGUUCGGUGUUGCCAGGGAUGGAGCCAGGAUUCCUGCAUGGAGAGGCGGGUUUACUCAUGGAGGGUGCAAAGCUUUCAUCGAGUAAGAAAAUUUGGUUGCAGUAGCUACUACAACUAAAGAAGAAAUAGUUCAUUGCAGGGAAUCUAGCCCCCUCCCUCACGCCCUAAAUCAGCCCAUGGGUGUCAGUUUACAACAUGUUUAGGGCCUUAUUCCAUAUUCCUAGAGCAUUUCCUAAUUCUUGAUGCAUUGCAUGAUGGUAGGUCUCCAGCUAAGGCGACAGGGAAUCUUCUGGUGUCUAUGGGGUGUUUCAUAUUUUAAGGGGGGCAACCUGGCAGCAAAGGAAGGCAUAACGAUAAGUGAUUUGACUUAUCAUCAGCAAUAAGCUCUUGCGAUGACCGCAACAUCCAUGUGUUUCUCGCAUCCAAACCAUGCAGGGGAGACCAUGCGGCAUAGGCACGGGUAGGUGUGCUGGAAUAAGGCUUGGAGGAACGUGUCGCCAUCAAACGGUUCCGAUCGAUCUAUGCUUAGGGUAUCUUCAACAAGGGAUCCUCGAAACAACUGCAAACAUCCAGACCGACAUGUCCGGGCGAUGUAAGCUAUCCAACGCGAUGUUGCAUCCUCUCUCACUUCCUCGUCAGAUCCUGGUCCCAAAGGGCAAUACAUUGAGUCGGAAAGACGGGGGGCUUUCGUAAAUUCCAUUCUGUAGCCCGUAGACGCAUCCACGUGUCCGAGUCCCCGCAAACUGAAUGGAAACCAGGGAAGGUGUGCAGGAGUCCGGACAUCCACCACUUACGCGUCGGGAUGCCACAUGCACCCUCACGCCCUUCCGCCACAGGAAAGACCUCGACGAUGACUCCGACAACAACGACCACAUGGACAGCAAUGGAGAUUCCGCCAACCAGCCCGACUAGGCAUACAAGGUCACCGUCCGCUACAAAAUAGUUUUGUUUUUUAAGUUCUAGUUGAAUGGACAAAAUAUCAUCCGGUUUAUAUAAAUUACAUCAAAGUUUACGUCCAUUUACAUGAAUUCGGCCUCGUUUUAUGAUAUUUGUCCGUCUAGUUUAUUUUUGUUUGCAUUGUGGACGGAGGUUUGAGGCAAGAAUGGCCAACUUCAUAUCGUUGUCCGUGUCCGCACAAAAAUAUUAUGUCCGUUUUGCGUGCUUCAACAUCGACAGAUCUUUCGUUCAAGCAGACGAAACGGCGGACGCUGGAAUGAUACUCAGAGACCAUAAAGGACGCUCGUGAACUGCUCGGGUGCUCUUGAGGCUAAGCUUGCGGCGUGCGAUGAGGGCCUACGACUAGCGUUGCACUGGACUCAACUACCGCUUCAGAUGGAAAUGGAUUGCUCCGAAAUCAUCAAGCUGCUCAACUCUAGCCUUACAGAUCACUCUAAUAACAUGUAUCAGGUGGCUGAGAUUGCCGAGAUGUCGAAGGAACGACCUGUACACUUCCAAAAAAUCUGUAGAUCACAAAAUAAUGCUGCUCAUGCUAUGGCAGCUCUUGGUCGUAGUCACCAACGCACUGCUUGUUGGUUAGCAAACUCCCCACAGAAGAUUAGUACUAUCAUUUCAAGCAAUCGUAAGGCCAAGGUUGAUUAAUUGAAAUGGUUUUCCCCUGCAAAAAAAAAAUGUAGAUGCCCGAGUGUGGCUUCUAUCACUGCAUAUUGGUGUUCAUUUUCCAGUAUCUAUAGUUGUUUGCAAAAAUUACUUUUUUUCCUGCAUUUUCUACUCUUUUUGCUACCCGGUUAGUCCAAGGAACAUUUUCCGUACGAGGGGUAUGAAUGACGCGGUCAAAGUUGUCAAGUGAACCUAAAAAAAAGUUGUUACGUGGGCCGACCCAGUAACCGACUUGUACUUGCGUUUCGCACGAGCGAUUUAUAUUGCCUCCCUGCCCUGAACCCUACCGCACCAGAGCGGCGGAACCCCAAAUCCCCCACUCGCCAUGUCGUCAACCGCUGCCGGCGGCAAGCCAUCGCUGUCCGCCUCCGCCCUUGUCGCCGACACGGCGACCGGAUCCCACCACUUCACGAUCGACCUCUACUCGCGCACCAAGGGCAUCCCCACAGGCGAGCCCCUCAAGUCCUGCCCUUUCACCGUGGGAGGCCACCGCUGGCUCGUCCUCUACUACCCCAAUGGCGACCAGGCGGAGAACGCGGGCUACAUAUCCCUCCGCCUCAUCCUCGCCGAAAACACCUCCAGGACGCUGAGGGCGCAGCACCAGUUCCGCUUCGCCGGCGAGGCGGAGAAUCAGGCGCUGCCGCUGGCGGCGGAGCCGCUGAACAACUUCGCCGGCCUGGCGAGCUGGGGGAACUCCAAGUUCAUCCGAGCGGAGGCCCUGGAGAAAUCGAAGCAUCUCAGGGCGGACUCCUUCGCCGUCCGGUGCGACCUCAUCGUCGUCAGCGACUUCCGCGCCGUCGAGACGCCUGAGCCCGCCCCUCCGGCAUUCGUCACCGUGCCGCCGUCCGACCUUCACCUGCACCUGGGCAACCUUCUUCUCGCAGAGAAGGGGGCCGACGUGGUGUUCGAGGCCGGAGGCGAGACCUUCGCCGCGCACCGCUGCCUGAUCGCGGCCCGGUCGCCGGUGUUCAGUGCGGAGCUCUUUGGCGAGAUGAAGGAGAGCGUCGACACAACGGCUGUCGUCAAAAUAGACGACAUGGAUGCGAAGGUGUUCAAGGCAUUGCUCUAUUUUGUGUACACCGACACCUUGCCGGAGACGAAGAGGGAAGAAGCAGGGGAAGACGCCAUGUCUCAACAUCUGCUUGUCGCAGCCGACAAGUAUAACCUGGACAGGCUAAAGCUGAUCUGCGAAGACAAACUUUGCAGGUGCAUCCAAGUGAGCACUGUGGCGACAAUCUUGGUGUUGGCUGAGCAACACCAUUGCAGUGGCCUGAAGAAGGCAUGCUUUGAUUUUCUCAGCUCUCAGGCGAAUCUGAAGGCAGCCAUGGCCAGUGACGGCUUUGAGCAUCUGAGCCAAAGCUGCCCCGCUAUCAUGAAGGAGUUGAUCUCUAUGCUCAGCGCCUUGGUUCCGUGAUGCUUACCUAGUGUUCUACGAAUGGUGGUUGGUGUUCCCAGGAUUUCUGUCAUCACGUAGUUUUAGCAAUGGCAGUUCUUGUUAUCUAGACUUAGGCUAUCAGGUAAGGCUGCAUCUAUUCUAGGGAUGAUCUAAAGUAGUCUCAUUUUGUCUGUUCUGUUAGCUGAUUGUAUCUCUAAAACUCUGUCAGUUAGUCAUGAAUAUCUUUGCUCUACUCAGCUAGCUUGGUUGGUUGAAUCUCCGGUUGGCAUGCAAAUUUGCUAGGCCAUCUUUUUUACAUACAAGUCAUUUUUAGUAUUAUAAUGCUCACUGCUCAGCGUCAACAAUGCUACUCUCUGCUUUCUAUAGCUGCAUCUAUGCUUGGUUCGUGCAAAAGCCUGACCAGUGCUUUUCUAUAACCUAGUCCGUUAAUUUGGAAUGACUUCGCUAUCAGGCAGAUAGUUCAUUACAUUUUGCAUGGUAUGCUUUGGAUGAGUAAUGCAAGAUAAUUCUUGCUUUAUCUCCGGUCAAGUACAUACAGUAGUAGCUAGAGAACUGUUGACAGCAUUAAGGGACAAGUACAUAGAAGGAAAGAAUGAAAUACAUGUAGUAAUUUGAUGAACAGUCAGGUCACAAGUUGUGUGGCUCAAAUUUGCUGGUCUCUGAAAUUUCGCUGAGCGCCUGUCUUGCUCUGUGAAAUUGCCGAGAGCACUGCAUGGCUGCUUGUAUAUUUCCUCUGUUUAUUCAUCUUUUGUAUGGUGCUGGUUGCUGUUCGCUCAGCACCCUUGGGUUAAUUGUGAUCCAUAGAAAGUUAUGUUCGUGCAGCAAGUCCAUGCGUGUUUUUGUUCAUAUUUUUUUGGUUGACAAUCGAUUUUUUUGUUCGACGAAUAUGUUUUUCUGGUUUGUCGGAGCUGACACACUUUGUUUAGUUGGUCAAUACAAAAAAUACUAUUCUCUCUUUUAGCGAUCUAAAAGAUCUUAUAUUAGUCUAGAUACAACCAUUUUUAGGACAAGUAUUUCCGGACGGAGGAAGUACUCCCUCCUUUCCGGUUUAUAGGGCUCAAUUCAAAAAUCUCACCAAGGUAGAUGGUGAAUGGUGGAAUAUUUUUUGUAGUUUACAAAAGCACCUAAUUGCAUUGGUCAAUUUUCUCUUAAUACUUGCAUGCAAUGAUUUAAUGCACUUUGGAAUCUGAACAUGUGACGGGGAACAACCAAAUUGAGCCUUAUAAAAUGGAAAAACUAAAAUUUUGAGAUAAGCCCUAUAAACCGGAAAGGAGGGAGUAGUACUCAUUUCUUGAAAGAAAAGAUUGAUUUUUUGCGCGAACAGUCAAACUAAGGAUCCUCUGUAAGUCACCAUCUUCAGGGGCGUUCUGUUGUUCUUUAGACAAAACUACGUGUUUCCAUCUCAGCUUUAGUGUGUUUAUGUUGGACGCUCGUAUGUGUACCUGCUGUUUCAGGUUGUUUGUUCGGCCACUCAGCAUCAGCAUUGGGCUUCUCGAUCUCUGCUUCUCUAGUCGAGUUAUAUAUAUAUAUAUAUAUAUAUACUAUAAAAGAACGCACUGUCGAAAUUUAAUAAGGUUUGAAAAGAACAGGAAGAUCCUUUGUUCAUGCCAAGAGGCAGAUGGCUCCUGGCUUGCUGAAUCUUCACCGUGACGCUGGCUGUAGCUUCAUGGAAAAACUGAUGAAAUUCUUUAUUGGAUCAUGCUGAAGGAACUACUACAUGUCCCAUUAACAUAGUAAUCAGCACAAAUUCACAACCUGUUACCAACGCUGGUGCGCAUCACAGCCUUAAUGUUCCUGCAUAAACGGAGCCACGGUACUCCACUCCAGCCGUAACAUCACGACACGGAUGUGUAUGAAUACGAAUCAUUAUGAUACGACGCAAACAGCAAGCAAAAGUUGAUAUUCCAUGCCAUGCCAGGUUGCAAACCAGGACACGGCCACGACUCAUAGUUCUCCACAAACUUCACAAAGCUACGUUGCACUACUCAGUACUCGCCACCGCACAUCAAGGUGACAGCAGCAGCAGCAAACACAGACCAGGCCGCCGCUGCCGCACCGAUUAUUAUUAUUAUUCAGGAAAAACGAAGCAAAAAAAGGCCUUCAGUAAAACAGAGGACGAACCGAGCUGACGACGUCACGACGAUAGCCGUGGCGCGAGCGGAGAGGGUCGCGGUUCAGGCCUCAGAGCGCCUUGAGCAUGUCCUCAGCGCUGCUGUUGGUGAAGGCGCCGCCCUCCUCGAGGUUGAGCACCUUGACCACGCCGUCGUCGGCCAGCAGCGCGUAGCGGCGCGACCGGACGCCGAGCCCCACCGGCUUGUCCGACAGGUCCAGCUCCACGCCCAUGGCGCGCGUCAGCUCCCCGUUGCCGUCCGACAGCAGCAGCACCUCGUCGCCGACGCCGAGGCUCUCCUUCCACGCGCGCAUCACGAAGGCGUCGUUGACGGAGACGCAGGCCACGGUGUCCACCCCCUUGGCGCGCAGCUCCCCGGCCCUGGCCACGAACCCCGGGAGGUGCUUCUGGGUGCAGGUGGGCGUGAACGCGCCCGGGACCGCGAACAGGACCACCUUCUUGCCCGCGGUGAGGUCGCGGACCGUCACCAUCUUCAGCUCGCCGUCGGGGGCGUCGAAGUAGGAGAGCGUCGCGUCGGGGAGCCGGUCGCCGACCGCGAUGGUGGUUGUGGCGGCCGGGGACGCGGUCGCGGAGAGGACCCGCGUCGCCGCGCGGGGCAGGGGCCCGGCGCGGAGGGGCCCCGCGGGCGCGAGGCGGCGGGAGGCGAAAGAGAGGGAGGAGGCGGGGCCGCGCGAGAGGAGGACGCGCCUGGCCCCCGCGGCGGCGGCGGUGGCCGAGAGGGUGGCGAGGGCGGAGGUGGCCAUGGAGGGAGGCUAGGUGUUCGAGGAAAUGCGCUGUCUGUUGUUUGACUUCGGGGCGAGCGAGGCUAGGGUGGGGGAUUUGGGGAGCGUGAUCCCGACUCCGAGCGGCGGGAGCUGGCCCUAUGUGGGGGUGGGGAUGGGUGGAGAAAGCAGGGCGGCGGGAGGUGGCUUUUGCCUUUUGCGUUGCUUGGGCUGGGCAAGAGCUACUUCUCUUUGAGAAUGUUCAUCUGUCCUUUUCUAUUUUUAUUAACAAAAACAAUAUAAAUACUAGACAAAAUAUGGAGGGUCAGGAUUGUUUGUUCAAAAUUGUAGAGCUUAUUUCGUGAAUUUGUACAAAGACGGGGUGAAGGCAUUUCGAAUGGCAAACAUCAGGUGGACGCCCAGAGGAGGGGAAGGUUGUAGGGGAACGCACCCGUUCUUGCUCUUGCUUGAUGGGGUGUCCGAUAUGGAUGAGGCGACGGGGACAAUGCUUGCUGCGGGCUUGGUCGAGCACCGAGUUUUGAAGCGCUAGUCAGAUUUGUUGCUCGAACUCGGAUUUCGUCAUCGGGGCUCGGAGCGACGGGUCCUACUCCCACCCAACCUCCGACCAGUUGAUGUCGAUGUCGUCGUCUUCCUUGUCGGUGGGCUCCUCCUUGCCGGAUUGCGCGGUGGAAGACAAGGGGGCGGCGAAGCGCAGCGUCGAGGCUCCGCGGGCGGGCGAGAGCAUGUGGCGGCGAUGUGUCUCCGUGCUGGCAGCGGGCGUCAGACUCCUUGGUCGUCUUCGACCGGUUCAGCACCCAGGUUGUGUGAGCACUGGGUCUGUGAGAUCGUGCAACGGCGCCACCUGCAAUCUUCGAGGACCAUAGCGGCGGGUCCCUUUCCCGUUUGAGCUUCGUCCAACCAACGUCAAUGCCAUCAAUGAGCUCCUCCUUGAAGACGGCCGGCGCAAGCGUGAUAUCAAGGCUCGUCAAGCGAGCACAUGAUGGCGAUGUGUCUCCAUGAUGGUGUGGAUUGGGCUCGAGCUUCCAUCGAAUCUCACCAGCGAUGGCACAUCGGACCAGUAGCCGCCAAGUUACCACAUUAUCUGGUUGCCCAUCAUGGCGGGGCGACGACUAGGGUUUUGGCAGGGAAGUGGAUUGUAUGAGAGUGAGGAAGGAUGAUUAAAAAGUGAGGUGGGGCCAAGCUGUCAUGCCAACAUGGUGGACGUCUCGACUCCCCUACUUUGUCCCUCAAUUUGAGACCGGCCUGAUUUGCACACGUCGGGCUCACAAUGUGGUUCGCAUUCGAGGCCUAAAAGUGACUUUGUCCUCUCAACUUCUAGUAACACUAUAAAUGAUGGAAUGUCCCUUUUUCUAAGAAAAGACACCCAAAGAGCAUAUCAUAUUUGAUCUGUCAAGUAAAAUAGUGGACAAUACAAUCAAUGGACAACAUAAGACAAAAAUUGUCUUCUGCCUUUGUUUGCUCAUCGUCUGCUGAAGCUUAAAAGUACAUUCAACAAGUAGUAAGGGAUAUGGACAUCUGCAGACGUCAUCACCAUACAAAGCCUUUGAAGACCGUGAUACAUUAGCCGUUGAAGAAACGUUGGUCGAGAUAACGCAGGUUUGCAAUCGUUCACCAUCAAUCCAGAAGGUUGUAGAAACCGAACUUUGCCGUAGAACAAAACGAAUGAAGAGGUCAAAGUCGUCACUCACAUUAAUAGCCAACCAGCUGCAUGAUCAGAAGAAGACCUGUAGAUCGGGCAACACGUACCCUCACAGGCUCUUUCGUUGACACCAAAUUGGAAUAUAUUUACUUUUUAGAGCAUCCGGAGAGCCCAGAAAGUCCCCCCUGUUUUCCGAAAGUGAAAGCAGAAAAAACAAAUUUUGUCUAGGAAAAAACAAAUUUUGUUUACGUUUAUUACACAGACCAGGGAUAAAUUUCCCGCCUUUUUAAGCUCCAAUUAAGUGCUACUAAAAUGAGAACAUAAGCUACAUUUCCUAAGCUGGGAGAAAAGGGGAUGCCCCCCCCAAUGCCACGCCUUGCUCUAGUGCAGCUUCAACACCUAUCACGACCUUGAUUUUGAGCUUCUUCAUCGGGGGUGGAGUAGGAGAGUGCAGCAGCUCCAGUGGCGUAGAUGGGCUAAGGGAGGAUGUUUUCUUGAUCGAAGCACCAGGGGGUAGGUAGGGGGGACGGGGGAUUCCCAGCGGCCUUGAUUCAGGUCCAGCUAGGGAGAGCUUGAUGAGGACACCAGCAAGGUCCGGGUAGCCUACCCCAGCGUCACUUGGAUUGGUGCUCAAAGCAGGGAUUUUUACCAUCACUAGCACAGUGCCCGUGUGUUGCUACGGAGCUAUUAAAAAGGAGAGACGUUAGGCCACCACCGACUUAGAAGAUGAUCAAAAGAUGGUAGUAUAUAUCUUGCACGAUUCACGAUUGAAGAGAGCAAAAAUACAGUAAGAGGGAUGAGGUAGGUAUUGAAGAAUUUGAUGUGACCGUAGUAGGUCCUUUGAAAGAUAUAUAGUGAGACAACAUUUUUAAUUUAGAAACAUGGGAGAAUGGGCAUUACAGUUUGUUCAAUCUCCUAUGGUAUGAUAUAGAACUUGGAAUUUUUGUUAGGAGAGAAACUAAAACUAAAAUGAUGAUCUUAAGUUGGGAGUCAUAUUGUUUGCAAUUGUUAUUUGUGUCUUCUAUCUGAGCGUUGGCUUCCCAUUAAAGUAGUAGAUUAUUUGUUUGUUUGUGUUAGGUCCCACACAUGGGUAAAAUACAAUUGUUUAUGUCUCUUGGAAGUUUGUUACUUCCACAUGUGAAUGAAAGGAGGGGUGUAUUUGUUUAUUGCAAUGAUUGUUGGUCCCACAUGUGAACUCAUCACCAACUCCAACCUUUAUAAGUAGGAAAAAAUAGUAAAGGCAUCUAUCUGCUGCAACUUGCAAGUGCUCCUCCUUGAACAGUGUUCGAAGUAACAAUGGAAAUGCCUGUCCUCGAUCGAUGGUUACAUGACCCUUAUAUACAAUCUGGAAGGACACGGCGAUCCAACGAGGAGACGUCGGUUCCAGGGAGAUGAGGGGCAGAGGCGUCCGUUGCGGGAGAGAUCGCAACGGCCUGUACGGGCAAGGGGAGAUUUUCCCUAAUUAUAGUUAAUCUUAACACUCCCCUUAAUCUACGCUUGACCAUGUAGUAUCAUCUCAUGAUUGUCCGGGUAGAUCAUGUAGUAUCAUCUCAUGAUUGUCCGGGUAGCUCAUGUAGUAUCAUCUCAUGAUUGUGCGGAUAGCUCUAUUAUCUCAAAAAAUUCUUCUCCAAAAGUUCUUCACAAAAAUCUUUGAUGAGAACCUGAAAUACAAACUCACAGAGAGAAACCGCGUAAUGUGAUGUUUGAACAAGGAUAUCUCAAGAAGCGACUCCCCCUGACGCUUGCAAGUCCCGAAGUCAUCGCAUACCAAUUCCAUGAACAUAUUUCUGGAAUGUAGAAUUUGGUAGAGACUUGGUAAAUAAAUCAGCAAGAUCUUCGCAUGUUUUAAUUUGCAAGACAUUUAUUUCCCCGCUUUGCGGAAGAUCAUGGGGGAAAACCACUUAGGAGAAAUAUGCUUAGUGAUAUUACUCUUGAUGUAUCAUGUUUGCAUCUGUGCAACACAAGACGCAUUAUCUUCAUAGAUAAUGGUUGGUGAUUCUAUCGAACCAAUUCCACAUGGCUGUUGUAUGUGGUUUAUCAUUCUGCGAAGCCAUACACAUUCGCAUGUUGCUUCAAAUAAUGAGAUUAUUUCAGAAUGAUUGGUAGAUGUGUUGGGGAACGCAGUAAUUUCAAAAAAAAUCCUACGAUCACGCAAGAUCUAUCUAGAAGAUGCAUAGCAACGAGAGGGGAGAGUGUGUCCACAUACCCUCGUAGACUGAAAGCGGAAGCGUUUAGUAACGCGGUUGAUGUAGUCGAACUUCUUCGCGAUCCAACCGAUCCAAGUACGGAAUGUACGGCACCUCCUCGUUCAGCACACGUUCAGCUCGAUGACGUCCCUCAUACUCUUGAUCCAGUUGAGGCCGAGGGAUAGUUCCGUCAGCACAACGGCAUGGCGACGGUGAUGAUGAUGUUACCGGUGCAGGGCUUCGCCUAAGCACUAUGGCGAUAUGACCGAGGUGUGUAAUUGUGGAGGGGGGCAUCGCACACGGCUAAAAGACCAACUUGUGUGUUCUAGGGUGCCCCCCUGCCCCCAUAUAUAAAGGAGGGAGGGGGAGGCCGGCCGGCCCUAGGGGCGCGCCCAAGGAGAGGGAGUCCUACUAGGACUCCAAGUCCUAGUAGGAUUCCACUUGGUGGAAGGGGGAAGGAAGGGAGAGGGAGAGGGAGAGGGAAAGGGAAAGGGGGGCCGCGCCCCCUCCCCUAGUCCUAUUCGGACUCCCCAUGGGGGGGCGCAUGCCUCCCCUAUGUGGGCUGUCCUCUCUCUCCCCUAUGGCCCAUGAUGGCCCAUUGCUUCCCCGGGGGGUUCCGGUAACCCCUCCGCACUCCGUUUUUAUCCGGAACACUUCCGGUAUCCAAAUAACAUGGUCCAAUAUAUCAAUCUUUAUGUCUCGGCCAUUUCGAGACUCUUCGUCACGUCCGUGAUCCCAUCCGGGACUCCGAACAAACUUCGGUCAUCAAAACACAUAACUCAUAAUACAAAUCGUCAUCAAACGUUAAGCGUGCGGACCCUACGGGUUCGAGAACUAUGUAGACAUGACCGAGUGUUGGGGAACGUAGUAAUUUCAAAAAAAAUCCUACGCACACGCAAGAUCAUGGUGAUGCAUAGCAACGAGAGGGGAGAGUGUUGUCCACGUACCCUCGUAGACCGAAAAAGCGGAAGCGUUAGCACAGCGCGGUUGAUGUAGUCGUAUGUCUUCACGAUCCGACCGAUCAAGUACCGAACGCACGGCACCUCCGAGUUCAGCACACGUUCAGCCCGAUGACGUCCCUUGAACUCCGAUCCAGCCGAGUGUUGAGGGAGAGUUUCAUCAGCAGGACGGCGUGGUGACGAUGAUGAUGUUCUACCGACGCAGGGCUUCGCCUAAGCACCGCUACAGUAUUAUCGAGGUGGACUAUGGUGGAGGGGGCACCGCACACGGCUAAAAGAUCAAAUCAAUUGUUGUGUCUCUAGGGUGCCCCCUGCCCCCGUAUAUAAAGGAGCAAGGGGGAAGGUGCGGACGGCCAGGAGGAGGCGCGCCAGGAGGAGUCCUACUCCCACCGGGAGUAGGACUCCCUCCCUUCCUUGUUGGAUUAGGAGAAGGGGGAAAGAAGAGGAAGAGAGGAAGGAAAGGGGGGCGCCGCCCCCUCUCCUUGUCCUAUUCGGACUAGAGGGGGAGGGGCGCGCGGCUCUGCCCUAGCCGCCUCUCCUCUUCUCCACUAAGGCCCACUAUGGCCCAUUAAACCCCCGGGGGGUUCCGGUAACCCCUCCGGUACUCCGGUAAAAUCCCGAUUUCACCCGGAACACUUCCGAUAUCCAAAUAUAGGCUUCCAAUGUAUCAGUCUUCAUGUCUCGACCAUUUCGAGACUCCUCGUCAUGUCUGUGAUCACAUCCGGGACUCCGAACAACCUUCGGUACAUCAAAACUCAUAAACUCAUAAUAUAACCGUCAUCGAAACUUUAAGCGUGCGGACCCUACGGGUUCGAGAACUAUGUAGACAUGACCGAGACACGUCUCCGGUCAAUAACUAAUAGCGGAACCUGGAUGCUCAUAUUGGCUCCCACAUAUUCUACGAAGAUCUUUAUCGGUCAAACUGCAUAACAACAUACAUUGUUCCCUUUGUCAUCGGUAUGUUACUUGCCCGAGAUUCGUCGUCGGUAUCUCAAUACCUAGUUCAAUCUCGUUACCGGCAAGUCUCUUUACUCGUUCCGUAAUACAUCAUCCCGCAACUAACUCAUUAGUUGCAAUGCUUGCAAGGCUUAAGUGAUGUGCAUUACCGAGUGGGCCCAGAGAUACCUCUCCGACAAUCGGAGUGACAAAUCCUAAUUUCGAAAUACGCCAACCCAACAAGUACCUUCGGAGACACCUGUAGAGCACCUUUAUAAUCACCCAGUUACGUUGUGACGUUUGGUAGCACACAAAGUGUUCCUCCGGUAAACGGGAGUUGCAUAAUCUCAUAGUCAUAGGAACAUGUAUAAGUCAUGAAGAAAGCAAUAGCAACAUACUAAACGAUCGAGUGCUAAACUAACGGAAUGGGUCAAGUCAAUCACAUCAUUCUCCUAAUGAUGUGAUCCCGUUAAUCAAAUGACAACUCAUGUCAAUGGCUAGGAAACAUAACCAUCUUUGAUCAACGAGCUAGUCAAGUAGAGGCAUACUAGUGACACUCUGUUUGUCUAUGUAUUCACACAAGUAUUAUGUUUCCGGUUAAUACAAUUCUAGCAUGAAUAAUAAACAUUUAUCAUGACAUAAGGAAAUAAAUAAUAACUUUAUUAUUGCCUCUAGGGCAUAUUUCCUUCACCGAGACACAUCUCCGGUCAAUAACCAAUAGCAGAACCUGGAUGCUCAUAUUGGCUCCUACAUAUUCUACGAAGAUCUUUAUCGGUCAAACCGCAUAACAACAUAUGUUGUUCCCUUUGUCAUCGGUAUGUUACUUGUGCGAGAAUCGAUCGUCGGUAUCAUCAUACCUAGUUCAAUAUCGUUACUGGCAAGUCUCUUUACUCGUUCCGUAAUACUUCAUCCCGCAACUAACACAUUAGUCGCAUUGCUUGCAAGGCUUAUAAUGAUGAGCAUUACCGAGAGGGCCCAGAGAUACCUCUCCGAAACACGGAGUGACAAAUCCUAAUCUCGAUCUAUGCCAACCCAACAAAUACCUUCGGAGACACCUGUAGAGCAUCUUUAUAAUCACCCAUUUACGUUGUGAUGUUUGAUAGCACACAAAGUGUUCCUCCGGUAUUCGGGAGUUGCAUAAUCUCAUAGUCUGAGGAACAUGUAUAAGUCAUGAAGAAAGCAGUAGCAAUGAAACUGUAACGAUCAUAAUGCCAAGCUAAAGAAUGGGUCUUGUCCAUCACAUCAUUCUCUAAUGAUGUGAUCCCGUUCAUCAAAUGACAACACAUGUCUAUGGUCAGGAAACUUAACCAUCUUUGAUUAACGAGCUAGUCUAGUAGAGGCAUACUAGGGACACUUUGUUUUGUCUAUGUAUUCACACAUGUAUCAAGUUUCUGGUUAAUACAAUUCUAGCAUGAAUAAUAAAAAUUUAUCAUGAUAUAAGGAAAUAUAAAUAAAAACUUUAUUAUUGCCUCUAGGGCAUAUUUCCUUCAGUCUCCCACUUGCACUAGAGUCAAUAAUCUAGUUCACAUCGCCAUGUGAUUUAACACCAAUAGUUCACAUCGUCAUGUGAUUUAACACUCUAUAGUUCACAUCGCCAUGUGACCAAUACCCAAAAGGUUUACUAGAGUCAAUAAUCUAGUUCACAUCGCCAUGUGAUUAACACCCAAAGACUACUAAGGUGUGAUCAUGUUUUGCUUCUGACAUAAGUUUAGUCAACGGGUCUGCCACAUUCAGAUCCGUAUGUAUUUUGCAAAUUUCUAUGUCUACAAUGCUCUGCACGGAGCUACUCUAGCUAAUUGCUCCCACUUUCAAUAUGUAUCCAGAUUGAGACUUAGAGUCAUCUGGAUCAGUGUCAAAGCUUGCAUCGACGUAACCCUUUACGACAAACCUUUUUGUCACUUCCAUAUCCGAGAAACAUAUCCUUAUUCCACUGUAGAUAAUUUUGACCGUUGUCCAGCGAUCCACUCCUGGAUCACUAUUGUACCCUCUUGCCAAACUCAUGGUGAGGUACACAAUAGGUUUGGUACACAGCAUAGCAUACUUUAUAGAACCUAUGACUGAGGCAUGUGGUCGGGUUUUGAGUCUUUACUCAAUUUCACACCUUGCAACACACGCAAGAACUCCUUCUUUGACUGUUCCAUUUUGAACUACUUCAAAAUCUUGUCAAGGUAUGUACUCAUUGAAAAACUUAUCAAGUGUUUUGAUCUAUCCCUAUAGAUCUUGAUGCUCAAUAUGUAAGCAGCUUCACCGAGGUAUUUCUUUGAAAAACUCCUUUCGAACACUCCUUUAUGCUUUCCAGAAAUUUCUACAUCAUUUCCGAUCAACAAUAUGUCUUUCACAUAUACUUAUCAGAAAGGCUGUAAUGCUCCCACUCACUUUCUUGUAAAUACAGGCUUCACUACAAGUUUGUAUAAAACUAUAUGCUUUGAUCAACUCAUCAAUGCAUAUAUUCCAACUCCGAGAUGCUUGCACCAGUCCAUAGAUGGAUCGCUGGAGCUUGCACACUUUGUUAGCACCUUUAGGAUUGAUAAAACCUUCUUGUUGUAUCAUAUACAACUCUUCUUUAAGAAAUCCAUUAAGGAAUGCAAUUUUGACAUCCAUUUGCCAGAUUUCAUAAAAUGUGGCAAUGCUAACAUGAUUCGGACAGACUUAAGCAUCGCUAUGAGUGAGAAAUUCUCAUCGUAGUCAACACCUUGAACUUGUCGAAAACUUUUUGUGACAAUUUGAGCUUUGUAGAUAGUAACUCUUGUUGGGGAACGUAGUAAUUUCAAAAAAAAUCAUACGCACACGAAGAUCAUGGUGAUGCAUAGCAACGAGAGGGGAGAGUGUUGUCCACGUACCCUUGCAGACCGUAAGCGGAAGCGUUAUGACAACGCGGUUGAUAUAGUCGUACGUCUUCAUGAUCGACCGAUCCUAAUACCGAAAGUACGACACCUCCGCGAUCUGCACACGUUCGGCUCGAUGACGUCCCAUGAACUCACGAUUUAUGCCAACCCAACAAAUACCUUCGGAGACACCUCUAGAGCAUCUUUAUAAUCACCCAUUUAUGUUGUGACGUUUGAUAGCACACAAAGUGUUCCUCCGGUAUUCGGGAGUUGCAUAAUCUCAUAGUCUGAGGAACAUGUAUAAGUCAUGAAGAAAGCAGUAGCAAUGAAACUGUAAUGAUCAUAAUGCUAAGCUAACGAAUGGGUGUUGUCCAUCACAUCGUUCUCCUAAUGAUGUGAUCCCGUUCAUCAAAUGACAACACAUGUCUAUGGUUAGGAAACAUAACCAUCUUUGAUAAACGAGCUAGUCAAGUAGAGGCAUACUAGGGACACUUUGUUUUGUCUAUGUAUUCACACAUGUACUAAGUUUUCGGUUAAUACAAUUCUAGCAUGAAUAAUAAACAUUUAUCAUGAAAUAAGGAAAUAAAUAAUAACUUUAUUAUUGCCUCUAGGGCAUAUUUCCUUCAGUCUCCCACUUGCACUAGAGUCAAUAAUCUAGUUCACAUCGCCAUGUGAUUUAACACCAAUAGUUCACAUCACCAUGUGAUUAACACCCAUAGUUCACAUCGCCAUGUGACCAACACUCAAAGGGUUUACUAGAGUCAGUAAUCUUAGUUCACAUCACCAUGUGAUUAACACCCAAAGAGUUCUAAGGUGUGAUCAUGUUUUGCUUGUGAGAGAAGUUUAGUCAACGGGUCUGCCAUAUUCAAAUCCGUAUGUAUUUUGCAAAUUUCUAUGUCAACAAUGCUCUGCACGAAGCUACUCUAGCUAAUUGCUCUCACUUUCAAUAUGUAUCCAGAUUGAUACUUAGAGUCAUCUGGAUCAGUGUUAAAACUUGCAUUGGCGUAACCCUUUACGACGAACCUUUUGUCACCUCCAUAAUCGAGAAACAUAUCCUUAUUCCACUAAGGAUAAUUUUGACCGCUGUCCAGUGAUCUACUCCUAGAUCACUAUUGUACUCCCUUGCCAAAAUCAGUGUAGGGUAUACAAUAGAUCUGGUACACAGAAUGGCAUACUUUAUAGAACCUAUAGCUGAGGCAUAGGGAAUGACUUUCAUUCUCUUUCUAUCUUCUGCCGUGGUCGGGCUUUGAGUCUUACUCAAUUUCACACCUUGCAAUACAGGCAAGAACUCCUUCUUUGACUGUUCCAUUUUGAACUACUUCAAAAAUUUGUCAAGGUAUGUACUCAUUGAAAAAACUUAUCAAGCGUCUUGAUCUAUCUCUAUAGAUCUUGAUGCUCAAUAUGUAAGCAGCUUCAUCGAGGUCUUUCUUUGAAAAACUCCUUUCAAACACUCCUUUUAUGCUUUCCAGAAAAUUCUACAUCAUUUCCGAUCAACAAUAUGUCAUUCACAUAUACUUAUCAGAAAGGUUGUAGUGCUCCCACUCACUUUCUUGUAAAUACAGGCUUCACCGCAAGUCUGUAUAAAACUAUAUGCUUUGAUCACACUAUCAAAACGUAUAUUCCAACUCCGAGAUGCUUGCACCAGUCCAUAGAUGGAUCGCUGGAGCUUUGCACACUUUGUUAUUACCUUUAGGAUCGACAAAACCUUCUGGUUGCAUCACAUACAACUCUUAUUUAAGAAAUCCAUUAAGGAAAGCAGGUUUGACAUCCAUUUGCCAAAUUUCAUAAAAUGCGGCAAUUGUUAACAUGAUUUGGACAGACUUUUAAGCAUCGAUACAAGUGAGAAAAUCUCAUCGUAGUCAACACCUUGAACUUGUCGAAAACAUUUUUGCGACAAUUCGAGCUUUGUAGAUAGUAACACUACUAUCAGCGUUUGUCUUCCUCUUGAAGAUCCAUUUAUUCUCUAUUGCUUGCCGAUCAUCGGGCAAGUCAUCCAAAGUCCAUACUUUGUUCUCGUACAUGGAUCCCAUCUCAGAUUCUAUGGCCUCAAGCCAUUUCGCGGAAUCUGGGCUCAUCAUCGCUUCCUCAUAGUUCGUAGGUUUGUCAUGGUCUAGUAACAUGACUUCCAGAACCGGAUUACCGUACCACUCUGGUGCAGAUCUUAUUCUGGUUGACCUAUGAGGUUCGGUAGUAACUUGAUCUGAAGUUUCAUGAUCAUCAUCAUUAGCUUCCUCACUAAUUGGUGUAGGAAUCACUGGAACUGAUUUCUGUGAUGAACUACUUUCCAAUUCGGGAGAAGGUACAAUUACCUCAUCAAGUUCUACUUUCCUCCCACUCACUUCUUUCAAGAGAAAAUCCUUCUCUAGAAAGGAUCCACUCUUAGCAACAAAGAUCUUGCCUUCGGAUCUGUGAUAGAAGGUGUACCCAAUAGUUUCUUUCGGGUAUCCUAUGAAGACGCAUUUCUCCGAUUUGGGUUCGAGCUUAUCAGGUUGAAGCUUUUUCACAUAAGCAUCGCAGCCCCAAACUUUAAGAAAUGGCAGCUUAGGUUUCUUGCCAAACCAUAGUUCAUACGGUGUCAUCUCAAUGGAUUUAGAUGGUGCCCUAUUUAACGUGAAUGUAGCUGUCUCUAAUGCAUAACCCCAAAAACGAUAGUGGUAAAUUGGUAAGAGACGUCAUAGAUUGCACUGUAUCCAAUAAAGUACGGUUAUGACGUUCGGACACACCAUUACGCUGUGGUGUUCCGAGUGGCAUGAGUUUGUGAAACUAGUCCACAUUGUUUUAAUUGAAGGCCAAACUCGUAACUCAAAUAUUUUUUCUACAAUCAGAUCGUAGAAACUUUAUUUUCUUGUUACAAUGAUUCUCUACUUCACUCUGAAAAUCUUUGAACUUUUCAAGUGUUUCAGACUUGUGUUUCAUCAAGUAGAUAUACACAUAUCUGCUCAAAUCAUCUGUGAAGGUCAGAAAACAAUGAUACCCGUCGUGAGCCUCAAUACUCAUUGGACCGCAUACAUCGGUAUGUAUUAUUUCCAAUAAGUCAGUGGCUCGCUCCAUUGUUCCGGAGAACGGAGUCUUAGUCAUCUUGCCCAUGAGGCAUGGUUUGCAAGCAUCAAGUGAUUCAUAAUCAAGUGAUUCCAAAAGCCCAUCAACAUGGAGUUUCUUCAUGCGCUUUACACCAAUAUGACCUAAACGGCAGUGCCACAAAUAAGUUGCACUAUCAUUAUUAACUUUGCAUCUUUUUGGCUUCAAUAUUAUGAAUAUGUGUAUCACUACAAUCGAGAUCCAACAAACUAUUUUCAUUGGGUGUAUGACCAUCGAACGUUUUAUUCAUGUAAACAGAACAACAAUUAUUCUUUGACUUUAAAUGAAUAACCGUAUUGCAAUAAACAUGAUCAAAUCAUACUCAUGCUCAAUGCAAACACCAAAUAGCAUUUAUUUAGGUUCAACACUAAUCCCGAAAGUAUAGGGAGUGUGCGAUGAUGAUCAUAUCAAUCUUGGAACCACUUCCAACACACAUCGUCACUUUACCCUUAACUAGUCUCUGUUCAUUCUGCAACUCCCGUUUCAAGUUACUAAUCUUAGCAACUGAACCAGUAUCAAAUACUGAGGGGUUGCCAUAAACACUAGUAAAUUACACAUCAAUAACAUGUAUAUCAAUUAUACCUUUGUUCACUUUGCCAUCCUUCUUAUCCGCCAAAUACUUGGGGUAGUUCCGCUUCCAGUGACCAGUCCCUUUGCAGUAGAAGCACUUAGUCUCAGGCUUAGGUCUAGACUUGAGCUUCUUCACUUGAGCAGCAACUUGCUUGCCGUUCUUCUUGAAGUUUCCCUUCUUCCCUUUGCCCUUUUUCUUGAAACUAGUGGUCUUGUCAACCAUCAACACUUGAUGCUUUUCUUGAUUUCUACCUUCGCCGAUUUUAGCAUCGCAAAGAGCUUGGGAAUUGUUUUCGUCAUCCCUUGCAUAUUAUAGUUCAUCACGAAGUUCUAGUAACUUGGUGAUAGUGACUAGAGAACUUUUGUCAAUUACUAUCUUAUCUGGAAGAUUAACUCCCACUUGAUUCAAGUAAUUGUAGUACCCAGACAAUCUGAGCACAUGCUCACUUGUUGAGCUAUUCUUCUCCAUCUUGUAGGCAAAGUACUAUCAGAGGUCUCAUACCUCUUGACACGGGCAUGAGUAUGAAAUACCAAUUUCAACUCUUGGAACAUCUUAUAUGCUCCGUGGCGUUCAAAACAUUUUUGAAGUCCCGGUUCUAAGCCGUAAAGCAUGGCGCACUUAACUAUCAAGUAGUCAUCAUACCGAGCUUGUCAAAACGUUCAUAACGUCUGCAUCUGCUCCUGCAAUAGUUCUGUCACCUAGCGGUGCAUCAAGGACAUAAUUUUUCUGUGCAACAAUGAGGAUAAUCCUCAGAUCACGGAUCCAAUCCGCGUCAUUGCUACUAACAUCUUUCAACUUUAUUUUUCUCUAGGAACAUAUCAAAAAAUAAACGAAGAGCUACAUCGCGAGCUAUUAAUCUACAACAUAAUUUGCAAAUACUAUCAGGACCAAGUUUAUGAUAAAUUAAAGUUCAAUUAAUCAUAUUACUUAAGAACUCCCACUUAGAUAGACAUCCCUCUAGUCAUAUAAAUGAUCACGUGAUCCAUAUCAACUAAACCAUGUCCGAUCAUCAUGUGAGAUGGAGAAGUUUUCAAUGGUGAACAUCACUAUGUUGAUCAUAUCUACUAUAUGAUUCACGCUCGACCUUUCGGUCUCCAGUGUUCCGAGGCCAUAUCUGCAUAUGCUAGGAUCGUCAAGUUUAACUCGAGUAUUCCGCGUGUGCAAAACUGGCUUGCACCCGUUGUAUGUGAACGUAGAGCUUAUCACACCCGAUCAUCAUGUGGUGUCUCAGCACAAAGAACUGUCACAAUGGUGCAUACUCAGGGAGAACACUUAUACCUUGAAAUUUUAGUAAGGGGUCAUCUUAUAAAGCUACCGCCGAACUAAGCAAAAUAAGAUGUAUAAAAGAUAAACAUCACAUGCAAUCAAAAUAUGUGACAUGAUAUGGCCAUCAUCAUCUUGUGCUUUUGAUCUCCAUCUCCAAAGUACUGUCAUGAUAUCCAUUGUUACUGGCAUGACACCAUGAUCUCCAUCAUCUUGAUCUUUUAUCAACGUGUUGUGACAUGGUCGUCUCACCAGCUAUUGCUUUCGCAACUAUUGCUAUCGCAUAGCGAUAAAGUAAAGCAAUUACAUGGCACUUGCAUAUUAUGCAAUAAAGAGACAACCAUAAGGCUCCUGCCAGUUGCCGAUAACUUUAACAAAACAUGAUCAUCUCAUACAACAAUUUAUAUCUCAUCACAUCUUGAUCAUAUCACAUCACAACAUGCCCUGCAAAAACAAGUUAGACGUCCUCUACUUUGUUGUUGCAAGUUUUACGUGGCUGCUACGGGCUGAGCAAGAACCGUUCUUACCUACGCAUCAAAACCACAACAAUUUUUCAUCAAGUAUGUGUUGUUUUAACCUUCAACAAGGACCGGGUGUAGUCACACUCGAUUCAACUAAAGUUGGAGAAACUGACACCCGCCAGCCACCUGUGUGCGAAGCACGUCGGUAGAACCAGUCUCGCGUAAGCGUACGCGUAAUGUCGGUCCGGGCCGCUUCAUCCAACAAUUCUGCCGAAUCAAAGUAUGACAUGCUGGUAAGCAGUAUGACUAUUAUCGCCCACAACUCACUUGUGUUCUACUCGUGCAUAUAACAUCUACGCAUAAACCUGGCUCGGAUGCCACUGUUGGGGAACGUAGUAAUUUCAAAAAAAAAUCUACGCACACGUAAGAUCAUGGUGAUGCAUAGCAACGAGAGGGGAGAGUGUUGUCCACGUACCCUUGUAGAUCAUAAGCGGAAGCCUUAUGACAACGCGGUUGAUGUAGUCGUACGUCUUCACGAUCGACUGAUCCUAGUACCGAAAGUACGGCACCUCCGCGAUCUACACACGUUCGGCUCGGUGACGUCCCACGAACUCACGAUCUAGCAGAGUGUCGAGGGAGAGCUUCGUCAGCACGAAGGCAUGAUGACGGUGAUGAUGAAGCUACCGACGGAGGGCUUCGCCUAAGCACUGCAACGAUAUGACCGAGGUAGAUUAUGGUGGAGGGGGGCACCGCACACGGCUAAGAGAUCAAUCAUCAACUUGUGUGUCUAUGGGGUGCCCCCUGGCCACGUAUAUAAAGGAUGGAGGAAGGAGGAGGCCGGCCCUCAUAGGGCGCGCCCAAAGUGUGGAGUCCUACUAGGACUCCCUAGUCCUUGUAGGAUUCCACCUCACACGUGGAAUAGGAAAAAGGGAAGGGAGAAGGAGAAGGAAGGAAGGGAGCGGCCCCUUUCCCUAGUCCAAUUCAGACCAGCCCAUGGGGAAGGGGCGUGGCCACCCUUGAGGCCUUUCUCUCCUUUCGUGUAUGGCCCAUUAAGGCCCAAUACGAAUUCGUGUAACUCUCCGGUACUCCGAAAAAUACCCGAAUCACUCGGAACCUUUCCGAUGUCCAAAUAUAGCCUUCCAAUAUAUCGAUCUUUACGUCUCGACCAUUUCGAGACUCCUCGUCAUGUCCCCGAUCUCAUCCGGGACUCUGAACAAACUUCGGUCAUCAAAUCACAUAACUCAUAAUACAAAUCGUCACAGAACGUUAAGCGUGCGGACCCUACGGGUUCGAGAACUAUGUACACAUGACCGAGACUCAUCUCCGGUAAAAAACCAAUAGCGGAACCUGGAUGCUCAUAUUGGUUCCUACAUAUUCUACAAAGAUCUUUAUCGGUCAAACCGCAUAACAACAUACGUUGUUCCCUUUGUCAUCGGUAUGUUACUUGCCCGAGAUUCGAUCGUCGGUAUCUCAAUACCUAGUUCAAUCUCGUUACCGGCAAGUCUCUUUACUCGUUCCGUAAUGCAUCAUCCCGCAACUAACUCAUUAGUCACAUUUCUUGCAAGGCUUAUAGUGAUGUGCAUUACCGAGAGGGCCCGGAGAUACCUCUCCGGCAAUCGGAGUGACAAAUCCUAAUCUCGAUCUAUGCCAACUCAACAAGUACCAUCGGAGACACCUGUAGAGCAUCUUUAUAAUCACCCAGUUAUGUUGUGAUGUUUGAUAGCACACAAGGUGUUCCUCCGGUAUUCGGGAGUUGCAUAAUCUCAUAGUCUGAGGAACAUGUAUAAGUCAUGAAGAAAGCAGUAGCAAUGAAACUGUAACGAUCAUAAUGCUAAGCUAACGAAUGGGUCUUGUCCAUCACAUCAUUCUCCUAAUGAUGUGAUCCCGUUCAUCAAAUGACAACACAUGUCUAUGGUUAGGAAACAAAACCAUCUUUGAUAAAUGAACUAGUCAAGUCGAGGCAUAUUAGGGACACUUUGUUUUGUCUAUGUAUUCACACAUGUACUAAGUUUCCGGUUAAUACAAUUCUAGCAUGAAUAAUAAACAUUUAUCAUGAAAUAAGGAAAUAAAUAAUAACUUUAUUAUUGCCUCUAGGGCAUAUUUCCUUCAACACUACUAUCAGUGUCCGUCUUCCUCUUGAAGAUCCAUUUAUUCUCAAUGACUUGCCGAUCAUCGGGCAAGUCAACCAAAGUCCAUACUUUGUUCUCAUACAUGGAUCCCAUCUCAGAUUUCAUGGCCUCAAGCCAUAUUGUGAAACCUGGGCUCAUCAUCGCUUCCUCAUAGUUCGUAGGUUCGUCAUGGUCUAGUAACAUGACUUCCAGAAAGGAUUACUGUAUCACUCUAGUGCGGACCAUAAUCUGGUUGACCUACGAGGUUCAGUAGUAACUUGAUCUGAAGUUUCAUGAUCAUCAUCAUUAGCUUCCUCACUGACUGGUGUAGGAAUCACUGGAACUGAUUUCUGUGAUGUACUACUUUCCAAUUCGGGAGAAGGUACAAUUACCUCAUCAAGUUCUACUUUCCUCCCACUCACUUCUUUCGAGAGAAACUCCUUCUCUAGAAAGGAUCCAUUCUUAGCAACGAAUAUCUUGCCUUCGGAUCUGUGAUAGAAGGUGUACCCAACAGUCUCUUUUGGGUAUCCUAUGAAGACACAUUUCUCCAAUUUGGGUUCGAGCUUAUCUGGUUGAAGCUUUUUCACAUAAGCAUCGCAGCCCCAAACUUUAAGAAAUGACAGCUUACGUUUCUUGCCAAACAGUGUCGUCUCAACGGAUUUAGAUGGUGCCCUAUUUAACGUCAAUGUAGUUGUCCCUAAUGCAUAACCCCAAAACGAUAGUGGUAAAUCGGUAAGAGACAACAUAGAUCGCACCAUAUCUAGUAAAGUGCGGUUACGACGUUCGGACACACCAUUACGCUGUGGUGUUCCAAGUGGCGUGAGUUGUGAAACUAUUCCACAUUGUUUCAAAUGAAGACCAAACUCGUAACUCAAAUAUUCACCUCCACGAUCAGAUCGUAGAAACUUUAUUUUCUUGUUACGAUGAUUUUUCACUUCACUCUGAAAUUCUUUGAACUUUUCAAAUGUUUCAGACUUAUGUUUCAUCAAGUAGAUAUAUCCAUAUCUGCUCAAAUCAUCUGUGAAGGUCAGAAAAUAACGAUACCAGCCGGGAGCCUCAACACUCAUCGGACCGCAUACAUCAGUAUGUAUUAUUUCCAAUAAGUCUGUUGCUCGCUCCAUUGUUUCGGAGAACGGAGUCUUAGUCAUCUUGCCCAUGAGGCAUAAUUCGCAAGCAUCAAGUGAUUCCAAAAACCCAUCAGCAUGGAGUUUCUUCGUGCGCUUUACACCAAUAUGACCUAAACGGCAGUGCCACAAAUAAGUUGCACUAUCAUUAUUAAACUUAUAUCUUUUGGCAUCAAUAUUAUGUGUAUCACUAUGAUCGAGAUUCAGUAAACCAUUUACAUUGGAUGUAAGACCAUAGAAGGUUUUAUUCAUGUAAACAAAACAACAAUUAUUCUUUGACUUAAAUGAAUAACCGUAUCGCAAUAAACAUGAUCCAAUCAUAAUUAUGCUCAACCCAAACACCAAAUAACAUUUAUUUAGUUCCAAUACUAAUCACGAGGGAAAAAGGGAGUGUGCAAUGGUGAUAUUAUCAACCUUGGAAUCACUUCCAACACACAUCAUCACCUCGCCCUUAACUAGUCUCUGUUUAUUUUGCAACUCCCGUUUCUAGUUACUACUCUUAGCAACUGAACCAGUAUCAAAUAUCGAGGGGUUGCUAUAAACACUAGUAAAGUACACAUCAAUAACAUGUAUAUCAAAUAUACCUUUGUUCACUUUGCCAUCCUUCUUAUCCACCAAGUAUCUAGGGCAAUUCCACUUCCAGUGACCAUUUCCUUUGUAGUAGAAGCACUCAGUUUCAGGCUUGGGUAUAGCUUUGGGCUUCUUCAUGGGAGUGGCAACUUGCUUGCCAUUCUUCUUGAAGUUCCCUUUCUUUCCCUUGCCCUUUUACUUGAAACUAGUGGUCUUGUCAACCAUCAACACUUGAUGCUUUUCUUGAUUUCUACCUUCGCCGAUUUCAUCAUCGCGAAGAGCUCGGGGAAUCAUUUUCGUCAUCCCUUGCAUAUUAUAGUUCAUCACGAAGUUCCAGUAACUUGGUGAUAGUGACUAGAGAACUCUGUCAAUCACUAUCUUAUCUGGAAGAUUAACUCCCACUUGAUUCAAGCGAUUGUAGUACUCAGACAUUCUGAGCACAUGCUCAUUGGUUGAGCUAUUCUCCUCCAUCUUCUAGGCAAAAUACUUGUCAGAGGUCUCAUACCUCUCGACUUGGGCAUGAGUCUGAAAUACCAAUUUUAGUUCUUGGAACAUCUCAUAUGCUCCAUGGCGUUCAAAACAAUUUUGAAGUCCCGGUUCUAAGCCAUAAAGUAUGGUGCACUAAACUAUCAAGUAGUCAUCAUACCGAGCUUGUAAAACAUUCAUAAUGUCUGCAUCUGCUCCUGCAACAGGUCCGUCACCUAGUGGUGCAUCAAGGACAUAAUACUUCUAUGCAGCAAUGAGGAUAUCCUCGGAUCACAGACCUAGUCCGCAUCAUUGCUACUAUCAUCUUUCAACUUAGUUUUCUCUAGGAACAUAUCAAAAAUAAAAUAGGGGAGCUAUACGCGAGCUAUUGAUCUACAACAUAGAUAUGCAAAUACUAUAAGUUCAUGAUAAAUUAAAGUUCAAUUAAUCAUAUUACUUAAGAACUCCCACUUAGAUAGACAUCCCUCUAGUCAUCUAAAUGAUCAUGUGAUCCAAAUCAACUAAACCAUGUCCAAUCAUCACGUGAGAUGGAGUAGUUUUCAACGGUGAACAUCACUAUGUGGAUCAUAUCUACUAUAUGAUUCACGUUCGACCUUUCAGGCUCAGUGUUCUGAGGCUUGAUACAUCUCCAACGUAUCUAUAAUUUUGAUUGCUCCAUGCUAUAUUAUCUACUGUUUUGGACAUUAUUGGGCUUUAUUAUUCACUUUUAUAUUAUUUUUGGGACUAACCUAUUAACCGGAGGCCCAACCCAGAAUUGUUGUUUUUUGCCUAUUUCAGAGUUUCGCAGAAAAGGAAUAUCAAACGGAGUCCAAACGGAAUGAAACCUUCGGGAAUGUGAUUUUUAGGAAGAUUAUGAUCCGGGAGACUUGGACCCUACGUCAAGAAACAAAGGAGGAGGCCACGAGGUAGGGGGGCACGCCUACCCCCCAGGGCACGCCCUCCACCCUCAUGGGCCCCCUGUUGCUCCACCGACGUACUCCUUCCUCCUAUAUAUACCUACGUACCCCCAAACGAUCAGAUACGGAGCCAAAAACCUAAUUCCACCGCCGCAACCUUCUGUACCCACGAGAUCCCAUCUUGGGGCCUGUUCCGGAGCUCCGCCGGAGAGGGCAUCCAUCACGGAGGGCUUCUACACCAACACCAUAGCCUCUCCGAUGAAGUGUGAGUAGUUUACUUCAGACCUUCGGGUCCAUAGUUAGUAGCUAGAUGGCUUCUUCUCUCUUUUUGGAUCUCAAUACAAUGUUCUCCCCCUCUCUCGUGGAGAUCUAUUUGAUGUAAUCUUCUUUUUGCGGUGUGUUUGUUGAGACUGAUGAAUUGUGGUUUAUGAUCAAGAUUAUCUAUGAACAAUAUUUGAAUCUUCUCUGAAUUCUUUUAUGUAUGAUUGGUUAUCUUUGCAAGUCUCUUUGAAUUAUCAGUUUGGUUUGGCCUACUAGAUUGAUCUUUCUUGCAAUGGGAGAAGUGCUUAGCUUUGGCUUCAAUCUUGCGGUGUCCUUUCCCAGUGACAGUAGGGGCAGCAAGGCACGUAUUGUAUUAUUGCCAUCGAGGAUAACAAGAUGGGUUUUUAUCAUAUUGCAUGAAUUUAUCCCUCUACAUCAUGUCAUCUUGCUUAAGGCGUUACUCCGUUUUCAUGAACUUAAUACUCUAGAUGCAUGCUGGAUAGCGGUCGAUGAGUGGAGUAAUAGUAGUAGAUGAAGGCAGGAGUCGGUCUACUUGUCUCGGACGUGAUGCCUAUAUACAUGAUCAUACCUAGAUAUUCUCAUAACUAUGCUCAAUUCUGUCAAUUGCUCAACAGUAAUUCGUUCACCCACCCUAAAAUACUUAUGCUCUUGAGAGAAGCCACUAGUGAAAUCUAUGGCCCCCGGGUCUAUCUUCAUCAUAUUAAUCUUCCAAUACUUAGUUAUUUCCUUUGCUUUUAUUUUACUUUGCGUCUUUAUCACAAAAAUACCAAAAAUAUUAUCCUAUCAUAUCUAUCAGAUCUCACUCUCGUAAGUGACCGUGAAGGGAUUGACGACCCCUUAUCGCAUUGGUUGCGAGGAUUUAUUUGUUUUGUGUAGGUCCGAGGGACUCGCGCGUAGCCUCCUACUGGAUUGAUACCUUGGUUCUCAAAAACUGAGGGAAAUACUUACGCUACUUUGCUGCAUCACCCUUUCCUCUUCAAGGGAAAACCAAUGCAGUGCUCAAGAGGUAGCAAGAAGGAUUUCUGGCGCCGUUGCCGGGGAGGUCUACGCAAAAGUCAACAUACCAAGUACCCCUCACAAACCCUUAUCUCCCGCAUUACAUUAUUUGCCAUUUGCCUCUCGUUUUCCUCUCCCCCACUUCACCCUUGCCAUUUUAUUCGCCCUCUCUUUUUCGUUUGCUUGUCGUUAUGGCUAGUCCUCUAUCUUCUCCGUUGUCUCCCAAGAAUGAAGUUCUAAAUUUUAAACAAAGGGAGGGAGAAAAUCUAAAAGACGCUUGGUAUAGAAUUUGCAAUGCUCAAAAUAGAUCUGCCAGGAAGCAAUCUACUUCCGUUCUUCUCCGCAAUUUUUAUGUAGGCGCUAAUCCUUAGUAUAGAUAUAUUCUUGAUACCAUUACCGGAGGGAAUUUCUUGGGUAGCCAUACUUUUGACUCUUAUAAUGCUAUGAUAGAUUUAUUUGGCUCAGCACCUCUUUUGGUUAAUGGAACUAUGUUAACUUUGGAGCAUGUAAUGCAAAGACUUGAAAUUAUUGAAAAUAAAGUUGCUACCGUAGAGUUAAUUGAAAAUCUGGAUAAAAAGAUCCACAACAAAAUUACCCAAUAUGGAUCUAAGGUAGGAGUCACUUUGAAAAAUAUUAAGGAGAAGGAACCCAUAGUUAAUGAGAGAAUAAAUCAAGAUUCCUCUAGAAUCGAUAAACCUGAGGGUAUCAUUACCAACUUGGGAACCGCUUUUUCUUCCUUAAAGAAUACUCCUAGUCCUCCAACUAAAAUUGCUAAGCUUAUGUAUGUUCCUAAAAACAAGGGUGAAUCCUCUAAUAAAGAAACUGCGGAUCUUAAGUCUAUAAGUAUUCAUCCCAAUCUUUUUGCUAUCAUUAAGGAACCAUUUGCUACAAAUGAAUUUUUCGAUCUUGUUCCUAAAAGUUUGAUAAUUAAUAGAAAGAAAUAAACUCUAAAGGAUGAUAGAUGUCUUAUUGAAGAAUUGCCCACCAAAGAUGGCAAUACCUAGAUCUAUCCUUGCUUUUAUGCCUAGCUAGGGGCGUUAAACGAUAGCGCUUGUUGGGAGGCAACCCAAUUUUAUUUUUAGUUUUUUGCUUUUUACUUCUGUUUAGGAAUAAAUAUUUGUUCUAGCCUCUGGUUAGAUGUGUUUUGUGUUUUAAUUAGUGUUUGUGCCAAGUUAAACCUAUAGGAUCUUCUUGGAUGAUAGUUAUUUGAUCUUGCAGAAAUUUCCAGAAACUUUCUGUUCACGAAAAUAAUUGUUAAAAAUCACCAGAACGUGAUAAAAUAGUGAUUCCAAUUGCUGCUGAUCAAUAAAUAAAUUGUCUAGGUCUUCCUAUUUUGGCUGAGCUUUUGGAGUUCCAGAAGUUUGCGUUAGGUAUAGAUUACUACAGACUGUUCUGUUUUUGACAGAUUCUGUUUUUCGUGUGUUGUUUGCUUAUUUUGAUGAAUCUAUGGCUAGUAAAAUAGUUUAUAAACCAUAGAGAAUUUGUAAUACAGUAGGUUUAACACCAAUAUAAAUAAAGAAUGAGUUCAUUACAGUAUCUUGAAGUGGUCUUUUGUUUUCUUUCGCUAACGGAGCUCACGAGAUUUUCUGUUAAGUUUUGUGUUGUGAAGUUUUCAAGUUUUGGGUGAAAGAUUUUGAUGGAUUAUGGAACAAGGAGUGGCAAGAGCCUAAGCUUGGGUAUGCCCAUGGCACCCCCAAGAUAAUCUAAGGACACCAUAAAGCCAAAGCUUGGGGAUGCCCCGGAAGGCAUCCCCUCUUUCGUCUACUUCCAUCGGUAACUUUACUUGGAGCUAUAUUUUUAUUCACUACAUGAUAUGUGUUUUGCUUGGAGAGUCUUGUAUGAUUUGAGUCUUUGAUUUUUAGUUUACCACAAUAAUCCUUGCUGUACACACCUUUUGAGAGAGCCAUACAUGAUUUGGAAUUUGUUAGAAUACUCUAUGUGCUUCGCUUAUAUCUUUUGAGCUAUAUAGUUUUGCUCUAGUGCUUCACCUAUAUCUUUUAGAGCACGGUGGUGGAUUUGUUUUAUAGGAACUAUUGAUCUCUCAUGCUUCACUUAGAUUAUUUUGAGAGUCUUAAAUAGCAUGGUAAUUUGCUUAAAUAAUCCUAAUAUGUUAAGCAUACAAGAUUUGUAAGAACUCUUAUGAGUGUGUUGAAUACUAUGAGAAGUUUGAUGCUUGAUAAUUGUUUUGAGACAUGAAGAUGGUGAUAUUAGAGUCAUGCUAGUUGAGUAGUUGUGAAUUUGAGAAAUACUUGUGUUAAAGUUUGUGAUUCCGUAACAUGCACGUAUGGUGAACCGUUAUGUGAUGAAGUCGGAGCAUGAUUUAUUUAUUGAUUGUCUUCCUUAUGAGUGGCGGUCGGGGACGAGCGAUGGUAUUUUCCUACCAGUAUAUCCCCCUAGGAGCAUGCGCAUAAUACUUUUCUUUGAUAACUUGUAGAUUUUUGCAAUAAGUAUAUGAGUUAUUUAUGACUAAUGUUGAGUCCAUGGACUAUACACACCCUUCUUCCUUCCACCAUUGCUAGCCUCUCUAAUACCGCACACUUUUCGCCGGUAUCAUACACCCACCAUAAACCUUCCUCAAAAUAGCCACCAUACCUACCUAUCAUGGCAUUUCCAUAGCCAUUCCGAGAUAUAUUGCCAUGCAAUUUUCCACCGUUCCGUUUAUUAUGACACGCUUCGUCAUUGUCAUAUUGCUUUGCAUGAUCAUGUAGUUGACAUCGUAUUUGUGGCAAAGCCACCGUUCAUAAUUCUUUCAUACAUGUUACUCUUGAUUCAUUGCAUAACCCGGUACACCUCCGGAGGCAUUCAUAUAGAGUCAUAUUUUGUUCUAAGUAUCGAGUUGUAAUUUUUGAGUUGUAAGAAAAUAAAAGUGUGAUGAUCUUCAUUUUUAGAGCAUUGUCCCAAGUGAGGAAAGGAUGAUGGAGACUAUGAUUCCCCCACAAGUCAGGAUGAGACUCCGGACGGAAAACAAAUAAAUAAAAGAGGCCAUAAAAAAGAGAAAAGGCCCAAAUAAAAAAAUGAGAGAAAAAGAGAGAAGGGACAAUGUUACUAUCCUUUUACCACACUUGUGCUUCAAAGUAGCACCAUGAUCUUCAUGAUAGAGAGUCUCUCAUUUUGUCACUUUCAUAUACUAGUGGGAAUUUUUCAUUAUAGAACUUGGCUUGUAUAUUCCAAUGAUGGGCUUCCUCAAAAUGCCCUAGGUCUUCGUGAGCAAGCGAGUUGGAUGCACACCCACUCAGUUUCCUUUGUUGAGCUUUCAUAUACUUAUAGCUCUAGUGCAUCCGUUGCAUGGCAAUCACUACUCACUCACAUUGAUAUCUAUUGAUGGGCAUCUCCAUAGCCCGUUGAUAUGCCUAGUUGAUGUGAGACUAUCUUCUCCCUUUUUGUCUUCUCCACAACCACCAUUCUAUUCCACAUAUAGUGCUAUGUCCAUGGCUCACGCUCAUGUAUUGCGUGAACAUUGAAAAAGUUUGAAAAUGUCAAAAGUAUGAAACAAUUGUUUGGCUUGUCAUCGGGGUUGUGCAUGAUUUAAAUACUUUGUGUGGUGAAGAUAGAGCACAGCCAAACUAUAUGAUUUUGUAGGGAUAACUUUCUUUGGCCAUGUUAUUUUGAGAAGACAUGAUUGCUUUGUUAGUAUGCUUGAAGUAUUAUUAUUUUUAUGUCAAUAUUAAACUUUUGUCUUCAAUCUUUCGGAUCUGAAUAUUCAUACCACAAUUAAUAAGAAUUACAUUGAAAUUAUGCCAAGUAGCACUCCGCAUCAAAAAUUCUGUUUUUAUCAUUUACCUACUCGAGGACGAGCAGGAAUUAAGCUUGGGGCUGCUUGAUACGUCUCCAACGUAUCUAUAAUUUUUGAUUGCUCCAUGCUAUAUUAUCUACUGUUUUGGACAUUAAUGGGCUUUAUUAUUCACUUUUAUAUUAUUUUUGGGACUAACCUAUUAACCGGAGGCCCAGCCCAGAAUUGCUGUUUUUUGCCUAUUUCAGAGUUUCGCAGAAAAGGAAUAUCAAACGGAGUCCAAACGGAAUGAAACCUUCGGGAACGUGAUUUUUAGGAAGAUUAUGAUCCGGGAGACUUGGACCCUACGUCAAGAAACAAAGGAGGAGGCCACGAGGUAGGGGGCGCGCCCUCCACCCUCGUGGGCCUCCUGUUGCUCCACCGACGUACUCCUUCCUCCUAUAUAUACCUACGUACCCCCAAACGAUCAGAUACAGAGCCAAAAACCUAAUUCCACCGUCGCAACCUUCUGUACCCACGAGAUCCCAUCUUGGGGCCUGUUCCGGAGCUCCGCCGGAGAGGGCAUCCAUCACGGAGGGCUUCUACACCAACACCAUAGCCUCUCCGAUGAAGUGUGAGUAGUUUACUUCAGACCUUCGGGUCCAUAGUUAGUAGCUAGAUGGCUUCUUCUCUCUUUUUGGAUCUCAAUACAAUGUUCUCCCCCUCUCUCAUGGAGAUCUAUUUGAUGUAAUCUUCUUUUUACGGUGUGUUUGUUGAGACUGAUGAAUUAUGGCUUUAUGAUCAAGAUUAUCUAUGAACAAUAUUUGAAUCUUCUCUGAAUUCUUUUAUGUAUGAUUGGUUAUCUUUGCAAGUCUCUUUGAAUUAUCAGUUUGGUUUGGCCUACUAGAUUGUAUUGUUGCCAUCGAGGAUAACAAGAUGGGGUUUUUAUCAUAUUGGGCAUGAAUUUAUCCCUCUACAUCAUGUCAUCUUGCUUAAGGCGUUACUCUGUUUUCAUGAACUUAAUACUCUAGAUGCAUGCUGGAUAGCGGUCGAUGAGUGGAGUAAUAGUAGUAGAUGCAGGCAGGAGUCGGUCUACUUGUCUCGGAUGUGAUGCCUAUAUACAUGAUCAUACCUAGAUAUUCUCAUAACUAUGCUCAAUUCUGUCAAUUGCUCAACAGUAAUUCGUUCACCCACCGUAAAAUACUUAUGCUCUUGAGAGAAGCCACUAGUGAAAUCUAUUACCCCCGGGUCUAUCUUCAUCAUAUUAAUCUUCCAAUACUUAGUUAUUUCCUUUGCUUUUUACUUUGCUUUUAUUUUACUUUGCGUCUUUAUCACAAAAAUACCAAAAAUAUUAUCCUAUCAUAUCUAUCAGAUCUCACUCUCGUAAGUGACCGUGAAGGGAUUGACAACCCCUUAUCGCGUUGGUUGCGAGGAUUUAUUUGUUUUGUGUAGGUGCGAGGGACUCGCGCGUAGCCUCCUACUGGAUUGAUACCUUGGUUCUCAAAAACUGAGGGAAAUACUUACGCUACUUUGCUGCAUCACCCUUUCCUCUUCAAGGGAAAACCAACGCAGUGCUCAAGAGGUAACAAGGCCAUAUCUGCAUAUGCUAGGCUCGUCAAGUUUAACCCGAGUAUUCUGCGUGUGCAAAACUGGCUUGCACCCGUUAUAUGUGAACGUAGAGCUUAUCACACCCGAUCAUCACGUGGUGUCUCGGCACGACAAACUGUAGCAACGGUGCAUACUCAGGGAGAACACUUAUACCUUGAAAUUUAGUGAGAGGUCAUCUUAUAAUGCUACCGCCGUACUAAGAAAAAUAAGAUGCAUAAAAGGUAAACAUCACAUGCAAUCAAAAUAAGUGAUAUCAUAUGGACAUCAUCAUCAUGUGCCUUUGAUCUCCAUCUCCAAAGCACCGUUAUGAUCACCAUCGUCACCGGCUUGACACCUUGAUCUCCAUCAAAGUAUCAUUGUCGUCUCGCCAACUAUUGCUUCUACGACUACCGCUACUGCUUAGUGAUAAAGUAAAGCAAUUACAUGGCGAUUGCAUUUCAUACAAUAAAGCGACAACCAUAUGGCUCCUGCCAGUUGCCGAUAACUGUUACAAAGCAUGAUCAUCCCAUACAAUAAUUUAUAUCUUAUCACGUCUUGACCAUAUAACAUCACAGCAAGCCCUGCAAAAACAAGUUAGACGUCCUCUACUUUGUUGUUGCAAGUUUUACGUGGCUACUAUGGGCUUCUAGCAAGAACCGUUCUUACCUACUCAUUAAAACCACAACGAUUUUUCGUCAAGUGUGCUGUUUUAACCUUCAACAAGGACCGGGCGUAGUCAAACUCGAUUAACCUAAAGUUGGAGAAACAGACACCCGCUAGCCACCUGUGUGCGAAGCACGCCGGUAGAACCAGUCUCAUGUAAUGUCGGUCCGGGCCGCUUCAUCCAACAAUAACGCCAAAUCAAAGUAAGACGUUGCUGGUAAGCAGUAUGACUAUUAUCGCCCACAACUCAUUGUGUUCUACUCGUGCAUAUAACAUCUACGCAUAGACCUGGCUCGGAUGCCACUGUUGGGGAACACAGUAAUUUCAAAAAAAAUCCUACGAUCACGCAAGAUCUAUCUAGGAGAUGCAUAGCAACGAGAGGGGAGAGUGUGUCCACGUACCCUCGUAGACCGAAAGCGGAAGCGUUUAGUAACGCGGUUGAUGUAGUCGAACUUCUUCGCGAUCCAACGGAUCCAAGUACCGAACGUACAGCACCUCCGCGUUCAGCACAUUUUCAGCUCGAUGACGUCCCUCGUACUCUUGAUCCAGUUGAGGCCGAGGGAGAGUUCCGUCAGCAUGACGGCGUGGCGACGAUGAUGAUGAUGUUACCGGCGCAGGGCUUUGCCUAAGCACUACGGAUAUAUGAUCGAGGUGUGUAACUGUGGAGGGGGCACCGCACACGGCUAAAAGAUCAACUUGUGUGUUCUAGGGUUCCCCCUGCCCCCGUAUAUAAAGGAGGGAGGGGGAGGCCGGCCGGCCCUAGGGGCGCGCCCAAGGAGAGGGAAUCCUACUAGGACUCCAAGUCUUAGUAGGAUUCCACUUGGUGGAAGGGGGAAGGAAGGGAGAGGGAAAGGGGGGUCGCGCCCCUCCCGUAGUCCUAUUCGGACUCCCCAUGGGGGGGGGGCGCCUCCCCUAUGUGGGCUGUCCUCUCUCACCCCUAUAGCCCAUGAUGGCCCAUUGCUUCUCCGGGGGGGUUCCGGUAACCCCUCCGGCUCUCCGUUUUUAUCCGAAACUAUCUGGAACACUUCUGGUAUCCGAAUAACAUGGUCCAAUAUAUCAAUCUUUAUGUCUCGACCAUUUCGAGACUCCUCGUCACGUCCGUGAUCUCAUCCGUGACUCCGAACAAACUUCGGUCAUCAAAACACAUAACUCAUAAUACAAAUCGUCAUCGAACGUUAAGCGUGCGGACCCUGCGGGUUCGAGAACUAUGUAGACAUGACCGAGACACAUCUCCGGUCAAUAACCAAUAGCGGAACCUGGAUGCUCAUAUUGGCUCCUACAUAUUCUACGAAGAUCUUUAUCCGCCAAACGGCAUAACAACAUACGUUAUUCCCUUUGUCAUCGGUAUGUUACUUGCCCGAGAUUCGAUCGUCGGUAUCAUCAUACCUAGUUCAAUCUCGUUACCGGCAAGUCUCUUUACUCGUUUCGUAAUACUUCAUCCCGCAACUAACUCAUUAGUCACAUUGCUUGCAAGGCUUAUAAUGAUGAGCAUUAUCGAGAGGGCCCAGAGAUACCUCUCCGAAACACGGAGUGACAAAUCCUAAUCUCGAUUUAUGCCAACCCAACAAAUACCUUCGGAGACACCUCUAGAUCAUAUUUAUAAUCACCCAUUUAUGUUGUGACGUUUGAUAGCACACAAAGUGUUCCUCCGGUAUUCGGGAGUUGCAUAAUCUCAUAGUCUAAGGAACAUGUAUAAGUCAUGAAGAAAGCAGUAGCAAUGAAACUGUAAUGAUCAUAAUGCCAAGCUAACGAAUGGGUCUUGUCCAUCACAUCAUUCUCUAAUGAUGUGAUCCCGUUCAUCAAAUGACAACACAUGUCUAUGGUCAGGAAACUUAACCAUCUUUGAUUAACGAGCUAGUCUAGUAGAGGCAUACUAGGGACACUUUGUUUUGUCUAUGUAUUCACACAUGUAUCAAGUUUCCUUUAAUACAAUUCUAGCAUGAAUAAUAAACAUUUAUCAUGAUAUAAGGAAAUAUAAAUAACAACUUUAUUAUUGCCUCCAGGGCAUAUUUCCUUCAAGAUGUUGCCACCAGAGUCUGUUUCGAAGACUUCCAUGAUAUAGCAGUGCCACCAUGUAGGAACACGAAACCGGUAUGUGAUCUGACAUUAUGGGGAUCAGACAAAUAGCUGGCAUCUGCAUAUCCAAUCAUAUCAGAAUCCUGAUUUUUUUGGAACUAGAAAAAUAGACCAAGAUCCUUUGUGCCUUGGAGAUAUCGAAAGAUAUUCUUCACUCUAGACCAAUGAUGUUUAGUGGGAGCUACGCUAUAUCUAGCAAGUAGAUUCACUGCAAAUGCAAUAUCAGGUCUUGUGCAAUUUGCAAGAUACAUAAGCACUCCAACGGCACUGAGGUAUGGAACUUCAGGUUCCAACACUUCUUCUCCAUCAUCCCUUGGUCUAAACGGAUCUUUCUCCGCGUUUAGAGAUCGAACCACCAUGGGAGUUUUAGAUGGAUAGGAUUUGUCCAUGUUGAAUUUCUCCAAUAUUUUCUGGAUAUAGGCAGUUUGGUGUACCAUGAUUCCUGAGGGAAGGUGCUCAAGUUUAAUACCUAAGCAAAAUUUGGUUUUACCCAAAUCCUUCAUCUCAAAUUCCAUCAUUAGGUGAUUGUGUGCUUCAUUAAUGUCUGGUGUGUUGCCAAUGAUGUUGAGAUCAUCAACAUACACAGAAAUGAUGCAAAAUCCUGUAGAGGACCUUUUGAUGAAGACACAUGGGCAAUCAGCACUAUUGGAGUAACCUUUCUGAAGAAGGAACUCACUGAGUCGGUUGUACCACAUCCGUCCCGACUGCCUUAAGCCAUAUAAUGACUUAUUCAGCUUUACACAAUACAUGUUGCGUUUUGCACUUUUAUUCGGGACAGAGAUUCCAUUAGGAACCUUCAUAUAUAUGUCUGAAUCUAGUGACCCGUAAAGAUAUGCAGUCACUACGUCCAUCAACUGCAUAGAUAGAUGAUUUUGCACUGCCAAGGAUAUAAUAUCGGAAAGUGGUUGCACUCAUUACUGGAGAAUAUGUUUCAGUGAAAUCAAUGUCGGGUUUCUGCGUGAAACCUUGUGCUAUGAGCCUUGCUUUAUAUCUCACCACCUCAUUGUUCUCAUUCUGUUUCCGGAGAAAAACCCAUUUGAAUCCCACAGGGAAAACACUGGGAGGUCUCAGUACUCAGUGAAUACCUUUCUUUUGUUAAGUGAGGCAAUUUCUGCUUGGAUUGCAUCCUUCCAUUUAGGCCAGUCGGAGCGCUUUUGGCACUCAAUGAUAAACCUUGGAUCAUGAUCAGUGAGAAGGGUAUCCGCAAUCUUUUCAGCAAAAUAUAUGUCGACAGUCGUAGUCUUACGGUCAAAUGAUUCUCCAGAAUCUAACAUAGUUGAUGGAAAUUUCCUACACCCCUAGUGACUCUUCGUGAUUUCCCAAUACGAUUGAGUCUGGGUGUUUUGAUGUCCUAGUCAGUUUAUGCACACCGGAGCUGGGUUGUGGAGGUUGCCCUUCCACUGGGUGUAUACUACCCAUCAGGUGUUUGUCAAACGUUGAGUUGACCUGCAUUUACUGACUCUGAGGUUUUUCUCCUCGAUUUCCUUUGCUGCUUGCUAGAAGCAUGCUUCAGGUCAGAGGUUGUACUACUCCCCCUCUUUUUGGGAAUAGGGAGUUGAGUGGUUUUUAUUGGUACCUCCACUCUUUUUGGCGUGUUUUUGGACAGAUUUAAGGAUUUUGUAACACCUUUCAGAUCAGUAAAUGAAUCUGGCAGAUUAUUUGCAAGAUGUUGCAAAUUAAUGAUCUUCCGUACUUGAAGUUAUGUCUCUUGGGUACGGGAUCAGAGGAUGAAAUGGCAUGAGCAUUCCAAUCAAUUUCCGGGCAUCCUUUCUGGUACUUGAAAUCUCCCCCUAAUGCCAGAAAAUGUUCCUCGUUAAUUAUGCAAUCAGCGUGACGGGUUGUGAACAGAUCCCCAGUUAGGGGUUCUAGGUACUUGAUAGUCGACGGUGAUUUGUACCCCACAUAGACCCCCAACUUCUUGUGUGGGCCCAUAGAUGUCCAUUGUGGUGGUGAGAUCGAGAUCUAUGCAGCUCAUCCGAACUUACGCAGAUGGGAAUUUCCACAUACCAAUUCCAGAGGAGAAAAACUAUGAUAUGCAGUUGGCCUCAAUUGUAUCAAGUCAACAGCGUGUAAAACAACGUGACCCCAACAAGAGGUUGGCAAGUUGCAAUUCGUCAACAAAGGUCUUGCAAUGAGUUUGAUCCUUGUAAUCAAUGAUUUAGCCAAACCAUUUUGUGUAUGGACAUAUGGAACAGUGUAACGCCCGGAUAAUCAAGCUACAGUAAUCCCACGCUAAUGGUGCCACGUCACCACGGUUACUUUGCUAAUCUACCGUUAGGUCAAACCGUUUAAAAAUUCAAAUUCAAAUUUAUGUCAACGAUAAAAGUUUUUCAAAAUUUAAAACAAAAAUGUUCGGGAGAUGCCAUAUUUUGCAUAAGUAAAUAUGGUGUAGUAAACUCAUUUUUACAAAAUGCCUAAGUAAUUUAAAUUGAAAUAAAACAGAAAAGAAAAUAAAUGAAAGAAAGAAAAUACAAAAGAGAAAACAAACAGAAAAAAAGGAAAAGGAGCCCCCCCACUGGACCCUGGCCCAACUGGGCCAACCCCCAGGCCCAGCCGGCCUGGCCCACCUCGCUCGGUCGCUCCCUCCCCUUCCCUGUUCCCCCGACCGGGGUCGGAACAGGGGCACGUCCCCGCCGCACCCCCUCGCCGGCAACGGGGGAGGAUAAGGCCGCAACGCCCUGCCUCCUCGAUCACGCCUCCCACUCGCCCCCACUCUCGCCCUCGGUUCCUGCGCCUCUCCCUCCUCCCUCGGAUCCACCUCGCCCUCUCCUUCCCUACCGCAUCCGAGCGCCACCGCCGCCAUGGCUCCGGUCUAGCCACGGCCACUGUGCCCACCUCGCCGCUCCACUGUGUCCCCGAGGUCCGCCGUCGUCCGCUGCUUCGACUGGUGCACUCCGUUGGAGCUCGGAGCCACCGCAACGCCCACGACGCCGCCGUCUUCCUCCUCUGCUCCGACGAGCUUCACCGCCGAUUCCGCCGCACCGAGCCCUCCUCGAGCACGCUUGAGCACACCUGCAGGAGCACUGUGAGCUCCGCCCCCUUCUCCCCUCUCCUCGCGCUUCUCUUCUUGCCCCGUAGCUGCUCCCACCGUCGUGCCCGAGCUCGUCGCCGCGGUGGUGCUCACCGCCAUGGCCACGGCCCGCAGAGCUCGCGGCCGACCACCCCGCCGUGCUCAGCACCUCCGCCCGCGCCCACUGCACGCGCCCGCUGCUCCUCCCGCUCCCCCUGGCGCCGUCCUCGACGCGCCAGUGCUUCGGCCGCCGCCGCGAGCUCGUCUCCGGUGAGCUCGUCGCCUCCCGCCUACUGCCGACUGCGGCAGUGGAUGGGCGCGAGCACCAGCCGCCCGUAGAGCCGCUCCGCGCGGCAAGCCGUGUCCCGAAGCCCCAUCGCCGUCGAGCGCCCAAAGGCCACCGCCGCCCGUGCUCCACGCCGACACCGUUUCCGGCCGCCCCGGGGCCGGCCACCACCGCGGUUAGCUGCGGCUCGCCGCUCCCAUUCGAACGGCGUCGGCCGCGUCCAAUUUGGCCGCCGAACGGCGAAUCCUGACGCACGGCCGCACCCUCCGCCGCGUUUUGGCUCGCCGGAGCCAACUCCGGCGCCGGCCGCCGACGUGGCUGGCCUGGGGCCACCCCAGAGCCACUGCCAGUGGGCCCCAUGGGUCCCGUUGACCCAGUCAGAUGCUGACUGGGCAGCGCCCAGUCACUGCAUGUGGGCCCCGCGUGGGCCCUGUUGACCAGUCAACUGGUCUGUUGACCGCUGAUGCAGGGCUGACGCCAGGAUGACGUCACAAUUCAUUAUCUGACGAAUUUAGUAAUUAAAAAAAAUUUCAGAAUAUUGCUGAACCUUUGGAAAAUCGUAGAAAAUAAACCGUAGCUCGGAUGAAAAAACUUUGUACAUGAAAGUUGCUCAGAACGAUGAGACGAAACCAAAUACGCGGUCCGUUUGUCAGCCACACGUUCCUAGCAUAGCGAACAUGGAACUUUCCCCCUCCGGUCCGUCUGUCCGUAAACGCGAAACAUCGGGAAUACUUUCCCGGAUGUUUCCCCCCUUCGUCGGUAUCACCUACUGCCGCGUUAGGACACACCUCGCACUGUUCAUUGUCAUGUCACGCAUCGUCAUGCUUAUGUUUGCAUUGUAUUUACUGUUUCUUCCCCCCUCUUCUCCCCGGUAGACUACGAGACCGACGCUGCUGCUGCCGAGUUCGACUACGGAGUUGACGACCCCUCCUUGCCAGAGCAACCAGGCAAGGCCCCCCCUUGAUCACCAGAUAUCGCCUAUUCUUCUCUAUACUGCUUGCAUUAGAGUAGUGUAGCAUGUUACUGCUUUCCGUUAAUCCUAUCCUGAUGCAUAGCCUGUCAUUGUUGCUACAGUUGUUACCCUUACCUGCUAUCCUACUGCUUAGUAUAGGAUGCUAGUGUUCCAUCAGUGGCCCUACACUCUUGUCCGUCUGCCAUGCUAUACUAUCGGGCCGUGAUCACCUGGGCGGUGAUCACGGGUAUAUACUUAUAUACUCUAUACAUGACACAUGUGGUAAAUAAAGUCGGGUCGGCUCGUAGGAGUACCCGCAAGUGGAUCUUUGUGGCGGAGCGACAGGGCAGGUUGAGACCGCCUAGGUGAGAGGUGGGCCUGGCCCUGGACGGCGUCCGCGGUUACUUCGACAUAACACGCUUAACGAGUUCUUGGUAUUUGAUCUGAGUCUGGCCAUUUGGUCUAUACGCACUAACCAUCUACGCGGGAGUAGUUAUGGGUAUCCCGGCGUCGUGGUAUCAGCCGAAGCCUUCGUGACGUCAGCGACUGAGUGGCGCGCCGGAUUGGACUGGAACGCCACUAGGCUAGGUCUGCUUCCGGCCGCGUACGCAACGUGCAGGUGUGCAUAGGGCGAUGGGCCCAGACCCCUGCGCGCAUAGGGUUAGACCGGCGUGCUGACCUCUCUGUUGUGCUUAGGUGGGGCUGCGACGUGUUGAUCUUCCGAGGCCGGGCAUGACCCAGAAAAGUGUGUCCGGCCAAAUGGGAUCAAGCGUGUUGGGUUAUGUGGUGCACCCCUGCAGGGAAGUUUAUCUAUUCGAAUAGCCGUGUCCCUCGGUAAAAGGACGACCCGGAGUUGUACCUUGACCUUAUGACAACUAGAACCGGAUACUAAAUAAAAUACACCCUUCCAAGUGCCAGAUACAACCCGGUGACCGCUCUCUAACAGGGCGACGAGGAGGGGAUCGCCGGGUAGGAUUAUGCUAUGCGAUGCUACUUGGAGGACUUCAAUCUACUCUCUUCUACAUGCUGCAAGAUGGAGAUGGCCAAAAGCGUAGUCUUCGACAGGACUAGCUAUCCCCCUUUUAUUCUGGCAUUCUGCAAUUCAGUCCACUGAUAUGCCCCUUUACACAUAUACCCAUGCAUAUGUAGUGUAGCUCCUUGCUUGCGAGUACUUUGGAUGAGUACUCACGGUUGCUUCUCUCCCUCUUUUCCCCUUUUCCUUUCUAUCUGGUUGUCGCAACCAGAUGCUGGAGUCCAGGAGCCAGAUGCCACCGUCGACGACGACACCUACGACACUGGAGGUGCCUACUACUACGUGCAGCCCGCUGACGACGACCAGGAGUAGUUAGGAGGAUCCCAGGCAGGAGGCCUGCGCCUCGUUCGAUCUGUAUCCCAGUUUGUGCUAGCCUUCUUAAGGCAAACUUGUUUAACUUAUGUCUGUACUCAGAUAUUGUUACUUCCGCUGACUCGUCUGUGAUCGAGUACUUGUAUUCGAGCCCUCGAGGCCCCUGGCUUGUAUUAUGAUGCUUGUAUGACUUAUUUAUGUUUUAGAGUUGUGUUGUGAUAUCUUCCCGUGAGUCCCUGAUCUUGAUCGUACACAUUGCGUGCAUGAUUAGUGUACGGUCAAAUCGGGGGCGUCACAAACAGAGUGCUGAACUUCAAUCCCCAAAGCUAUGCAAUAAUCAUUGAAAGCACGUGAGGAAAAUUCUGCAGCAUUGUCCAUUCGAAUUGACUUAAUUUGACUUUCUGGAUAAUGGGCUUGCAACUUAAUGACUUGCCUCAUUACCUUGGCAAAUGCAUGGUUCCAUGUGGAUAGAAGACAUACAUACGACCAUCGUGUAGAUGCGUCAAUCAGAACCAUGAAAUACCUGAAAGGUCCAGAUAAUGGUUGAAUGGGACCACAAAUAUCUCCUUGAAUACGUUCAAGGAACUGAAGGGUUCAGCUUCUAUUUUGAGGUGCGAGGGCCUCAAAAUUAGCUUUCCUGUGGCACAAGAUGUGCACACAAAAUCUGAAGAUUGAGGAAAUUUUGACUCAAGCAAAUUAUGACCAAUGGAAUUGCUAGUAAUUUUUCUCAUCAUCCCGAUUACGGAAUGGCCUAGGCGAUCAUGCCAGGUUUGGAAUGCAUUAACAUUCUAAAAAAAUACUUUGUAUGCAACAUGUUCCACGGUUUUGAUGUACGUAUAGUACAAACCAGACGAUAGAGAAGGAAUUUUCUGAUGUACCUUUUUUCCAUAUCCGUGAUCUUUAGUAAAGAGUAGAUACUCCUCUUUGUUGUCUUCAUGGAUUUCAAUGUGAAAACCAUUUUUAUGGAUAUCUCGAUAACUGAUCAGGGUACAUGAGGAAUCGAGAUACAAUAAAGCAUCCUCAAUUGUCAGUUGUGUACCACUUGGGAGGGUGAAUAUGGCACGUCCAGUACCAACAAUCACUGUAUCGCGUCCAGCGAUAGUUAGAAUAUCUCCAUUCAUUUUUUUCAGAGUUUGGAAAUAUUCCAUCCCCCUCGGUAUGGAGUUUGUGAUACCACUGUCCACAAGGCAUAAUUAUUCCCGUAGAGAACUGCGGCGAGUGCUCCUUCCCUCCCUUCUUUCUCUUUUGCUCUUCGCUGGUUUUUCUACAUGCGUGAUAAUGUGUUCGAAGUAACAAUGGAAACUUCUGUCCUCGGUCAAUGGUUACAUGACCCUUAUAAACAAUCUAGAAGAACGCGACGAUCCAACAACGAGGAGAUGUCGGUUCCAGGGAGACUUGGGGGAGAGGAAUCCGUUGCGGGAGAGAUCGCAACGGCCUGUAUGGGCAAGGGGAGAUUUUCCCAAAUUAUAAUUAAUCUUAACAAACAGGAUUCUCCAUUUCCUGAGGUGGAGAGCACCAACCUCCAAAUCUCAGGUGACAUGUAUCUUCAGAAUUUCAACGAUCUAUUUAUGUUUGUAUUGUGAUGCUUGUAUGACUUAUUUAUGUUUUAGAGUUGUGUUGUGAUAUCUUCCCGUGAGUCCCUGAUCUUGAUCGUACACAUUGCGUGCAUGAUUAGUGUACGGUUAAAUCGGGGGCGUCACAAGUUGGUAUCAGAGCCGAAUGCCUGUAGGAAUCCCCCUUUCCACACUCCUUGGCCGAAGUCGAGUCUAGACAUUACAAAACUUUUACUAACAUGGUUGUGUGGCUUACGGGCCCACGUCGCCAUUGGGUGGUACUAGGAUCUUUUACUCCUCGACCUUUACUCUGGGACUCUGAACUCUCUUCUACUCGGGUUAAACGAAUUUACUAACUCUAUCACUAGGAUCCCGUGACCGCAUUCACCCCAAAGUUGGAUAAGCCAUAGUUGUUUCUUAGAAUAUUAUUUUGAACAAUUCACACACUGUCAUUUGACUCCUUUGAAACGUCUUUGCUUUCAGGUGGAACCCACGAGGCAGGUCGUGCGCCACACGACGGCCAUUGGUGCCUCGGGAUCACCGGCUGUGCUAGCUGAGAUGAUGACCUAUCUGGGUUAUCGCUGGCACCCUGAGUACGCCGUCUACGAGGAGUACCAGGACUUUAACCAGGAGCAGUACCGUGCCAUCGUCCACCUCUACUCGCGGGAGUAUGACUCCACUACUGUGCUGCACACCGCUCAUGGUGUUGGUGUGACCAUCGAUAUGGCUGUCCACGAUGCUGCCUAUGCUACUCUGACACGUCUUCGUGGAGAGUAUCGGGAGUUGGACACCUCCCCUUUCAGGCACAUUGCUAUCACAUCUGAUGUUGGUGCGGAGGGAUACUAUACUGCUGCCUAGUCCACUGUCACCCGAGAGCCCUUCUACCAUCAGAACCUGGUUCUGCAUGCUGAUGGGCUGGAUCGAGCUAACCGAGCUCUUCGCCACGAGAUGUACACCACCCGUCAGCACCUUUACCGUGCUCUGACGCUGCUGCACCCCUUUGUCCGAUCUGGACAGCUACCGCGUACUGCGAUCUACCCAGCCAGGACCGUGAUGCCCCACGGUGUCGGUUGGCCAGAGGUGGGAGGCUACUCUCCCGCACUUGGUCCUCUUCUGCCACCUGAGCGUCGGGCUCUACACCUGAGUAUCCGCGGCCCCAAGUCUGCUGACGUGGAGGGCUAUCCGUUGCCUCACUACCAGCUGUCGGACUACAAUUACCUCCACAGUACCUCUUGGGACUGAUGUAGGCUUGCUUGUAGUGUUAGAUGCAUUCGCCGCGAGCCUGUGUGCCGCCUAUGUUGUUUUAGUCUAUGUACUGAACUCUGUGUACUGAACUCUAUGCAUGACCCCUUUUGUAAGUUAUGCCGACUACUAUGUAGUAGCUAUCGUGCUCCUUUCAUUAUGCAUGUUUCAUCAUGAAUGAUUCUUGUCUUUGCAAAUUUCUCAAUGCUGAACUACCCCUGUUAUAUAUUAGCAGGAUGGUUAGACCAGGUGGUCGUGGUGGCAAUGCCCCACCACCACCUGAGUACAUGGCUGGUAUGAUCCAACAGUUCGAACUGAACCGCCAGUUCAUGGAAAAUAUGACGGCUCAGUUUCCUCGCCCCAAUAUGGACCAGCAACCAACCCCAGUAACUCUGCAGGAUUUCAUGCGCCUCAAUCCAACGGUGUACCGCAGCUCAACUCAGCCUCUGGAUGCUGAUGACUGGCUCCGUGACAUCACCUAUGAGAUGGAGUCUGCCGAUGUAGCCCCUGCCAGCUAUGUCAACUUUGCUUCCUUCUUUCUGAAGGGACCCGCAGCUCAAUGAUGGGACAGCCACAGGCGUACACUGCCAGCUGGAACAAUCAUCACCUGGCCAGACUUCCAAGCAGCUUUCCGUGCCCGCUUCAUUCCUCAGGGAGUCAUGGACCGGAAGAAGCGUGAGUUCCGCAACCUCACCCAAGGCAACAAAACUGUUGAAGCUUAUCAGCGGGAGUUUCUGGACUUGUCUCGCUAUGCUGAAGAGGACAUUGCAACUGAUGCACGCAGACAGGAGAAGUUCCGUGAUGGCCUUCAAGCUGACAUCAAGCUCGCACUUCUAGUGCAUGACUUUGCUGAUUUCGCCACCUUGGUGAACAAGGCCAUCAAUGUCGAAACUGGUCUACAGGAAUACCAGGGCUCUCACAGGCACAACCGUGACACGGGCUCAUCUUCGGGCCCGCCCUCACAGAAGCGUAAGAUAUGGAUCCCGAACAGCAUGUACCGUCCAAAUGCAUCUGCCCCAAGGCAGACCUAUGCUGCACCUCGUCUGCCUCCACCACCAUCUAGGCAAUCAAGACUUCCAGCUCCACAGUCACAAGCUCCCGUUCCCACUCCCAAUAAUGGCUUGUGCUUCAGGUGUGGUCAACCAGGACACCGUGCUAGAGAAUGCAACCAGAACCAGAAUCAACUGGCCCUUCCAGCAACUGGCCGUGGUAACAACCAGCCCCGCAACAACAAUGCUAAGUCUUAUGGUCGUGCUCAUGCCAACCACGUUGAUCUCAACGAAGCUCAAGACCAGCCUGCUACUGUGAUGGGUACACUCCUCGUAAAUUCAGUACCAGCAUCCGUUUUAUUUGAUACAGGUGCAUCGCAUUCAUUCAUGUCAGAAGAUUUUGCAUACAAGCACGACGUUAAAUGUGAGGAGAUGAACACCUCGGUAUUGGUCAAAACCCCCGUGGGACAGUGUCAAACCUCCCUGGUUGGAAUCGAUGUCCCCGUGGAAAUCGAAGGGCUGGAAUUCUAUGCCUCUCCCAUUAUCCUGAAGUCGUCUAACAUCGACCUCAUUUUGGGGAUGGAUUGGUUGAAGGCGCAUACUGCUUCUAUAGUUUGUGCCACUAAGAUCGUUCAUCUACUUCACCCUUCUGAUGAAAUAGUUGCUUACCAAGCUCAUCUGGUGCAAAAUGCCGAGGCCAGGCUCUAUGCAUUGAAUGCAUUGAACGCUGCACCACUCGAGGGCAUUGAAAACAUUCCCGUCGUGCGUGAAUUCCUCGACGUCUUCCCUGAAGAACUUCCAGGGAUUCCCCCUGCUAGAGCUGUCGAAUUCAUCAUCGACUUGAAACCAGGCACCACUCCUAUAGCCAAGCGACCCUACAAAAUGCCGCCGCAUGAACUCCUUGAGCUUAAGGAGGAAAUCAACAAUUCUCUUCGCAAAGGAUUCAUUCGCCCAAGUUGCUCUCAUUGGGGAGCACCUUCUCUCUUUGUCAAGAAGAAGGAUGGGACAAACCGAUUAGUUCAAGACUACCAUCCUAUAAACCAAGCUACCAUUCAGAAUAAAUACCCUCUUCCUCGGAUCAAUGAUCUGUAUGAUCAACUGGCGGGUUCGUCAGUGUUCUCUAAGCUCGACUUGAGGUUGGGUUACCACCAGAUCCGUGUUCGCGAAGAGGAUAUCCCAAAGACCGCCUUCGUGACUCGCUAUGGUUCAUAGAGUACACCGUCAUGUCUUUCGGUUUAACCAAUGCUCCAGCCACCUUCUCUCGUCUGAUGAACUAUAUAUUCAUGGAUUACCUUGACAAGUUCGUCGUGGUUUAUCUGGAUGAUAUCCUGGUAUUUUCCAAGAACGAAGAAGAACAUGCUGAACAUCUUCGACUUGUGCUGGAAAAGCUACGAGAGCAUCAACUAUAUGCCAAGUUCUCCAAAUGUGAAUUCUGGCUACCCGAAGUAACCUAUCUUGGGCAUGUCAUCUCUAAGGAUGGUAUUGCCGUCAACCCUGAACGAGUCCAGGCUAUCCUUGAUUGGACUCCUCCCAAGAACGUUAAGCAAGUCAGAAGUUUUCUCGGUCUCGCCAGCUAUUGCCGUCGAUUCGUCGAGAACUUCUCCAAGAUCGCCAGGCCUCUGACUAACCUGUUGCAUAAGGGCGUCAAGUUCCAAUGGACAGACAAAUGUCAGGAGAGUUUCCAGGUACUCAAGGACAAGUUGACUUCUGCCCCAGUUCUAGCUCCACCUGAUACUAAGAAGGACUUCGUCAUUUACUGCGACGCUUCCCGUCAAGGAUUAGGCUGUGUCCUAAUGCAAGACCGCAAAGUGAUUGCUUAUGCCUCUCCGCAAUUGCACCCUCACGAAGAGAACUACCCAGUUCACGACCUCGAACUUGCUGUUGUCAUUCAUGCGCUGAAGCAGUGGCGACAUUACCUUCUCGGUAAUCGUUGCGAGAUCUUCACUGACCACCAAAGUCUGAAGUAUCUGUUUACUCAGCCAGACCUGAUCCUCCGUCAGCAGAGAUGGCUGGAGCUUGUUGUAGACUUUGACUUGGGUAUUUCCUAUACGCCAGGCAAGGCUAAUGUAAUGGCUGAUGCCUUGAGCCGCAAGUCUUACUGCAACCACCUCCAGGUUCACAAAGUUCAGCCCUCGCUUGUUGAAGAAUUCAGGAAGCUGAACCUCCAUAUUGUUCCUCCGGGUGCACUCGCCCCCCCUCCUAAGGAGUUUGGCAAGAUGAACCUCCACGUUGUUACCCAGGGUUCCCUCAAUACCCUAGUUGCUAAACCAGAUCUCGUGGACAGCAUCAAAAGGCUACAGAGGUAUGACUCUGAAGCCCACAAGAUUAAGCGCUACCUCGCAGAAGGAAAGCCCUCAUUCUUCACUAUUGCUGAAGAUGGCACUUUAUACUUCAAGGGGCGCCUAGUGGUGCCAUGUGCAGAGAAAAACCUGGAUAUGACACAGGAAGUUAUGAAAGAAGCUCAUGAUACGCCUCUAUGUAUCCACCCUGGUAGUACAAAGAUGUACCAAGACAUCCGUCAGAGAUUCUGGUGGUCUAAUAUGAAGCAAGACAUUGCUCGUUAUGUUGCUGAGUGUGACGUUUGCCGUCGUAUCAAAGCAGAACAUCAAAGACCUGCUGGAACUCUGCAACCUAUCUCUAUUCCUGAAUGGAAAUGGGACCAUGUUGAGAUGGACUUCGUCACUGGAUUUCCCAAAUCACAGAAAGGUAAUGAUGCUAUUCUUGUCGUCAUUGACCGGCUUUCCAAAGUUGCACAUUUCCUGGCGGUCAAAGAAACGAUCACUGCUAGUCAGCUGGCAACGCUCUAUAUGUCUAGGAUUGUUUCACUCCACGGUAUUCCAUUGGUUAUCAGCUCAGACCGUGGCAGCUUAUUCACUUCAAGAUUCUGGGCAAGUUUCCAAGAAGCUAUGGGAACUCAUCUGUCAUUCAGUACUGCAUUUCAUCCUCAGUCGCAAGGGCAAGUUGAACGCGUCAACCAAGUUCUCGAAGACAUGCUUCGAGCUUGUGUUAUUUCCUUCGGCAAGAAAUGGGAGGAAUCUCUCCCGUAUGCUGAGUUCUCUUAUAAUAAUAGCUAUCAAGCUAGUCUGAAGAUGGCCCCCUUCGAAGUGUUAUAUGGACGAAAGUGCCGAACCCCUCUGAACUGGUCAGAAACUGGGGAACGUCCACUCUUUGGUCCGGAUAUUAUCCAACAUGCCGAAAAACAAGUCCGCAUUAUUCGUGAGAAUCUCAAGACUGCUCAGUCACAUCAGAAGAGUCAGUAUGACCGUCAUCAUAAAGACAUGGUCUAUCAACCUGGCGAAAAGGCUUAUCUUCGAGUCACACCAAUGAAGGGUGCUCACCGCUUUGGAAUCAAGGGCAAACUAGCUCCUCGCUAUAUUGGCCCAUUCACUAUUCUCGAAAGGCGUGGUAAAGUGGCAUACCAACUGGAGCUACCGCCGAACCUUUCUCAGGUUCACGAUGUGUUCCAUGUGUCACAGCUCCGCCGUUGCUUCAAGGACCCAAUCCGAGCUGUGGAUCAUGAAGUGCUCGAAUUGCAGCAGGACCUCUCCUAUAAGGAGCAUCCGGUCCGCAUUCUCGACCAAGCUGAACGCCGCACACGUCAGAAGGCGAUCAAGUUCCUCAAAGUCCAGUGGUCGCACCAUUCUGAGGAUGAAGCCACUUGGGAACGGGAGGAUCGUCUGCGCGAAGAAUACCCCACGCUUUUCCCUUCUACCUCCUAAAUCUCGGGACGAGAUUUCUUGUAGUGGAGGAAUUUUGUAACGCCCGGAUAAUCAAGCUACAGUAAUCCCACGCUAAUGGUUCCACGUCACCACGGUUACUUUGCUAAUCUACCGUUAGGUCAAACCGUUUAAAAAUUCAAAUUCAAAUUUAUGUCAACGAUAAAAGUUUUUCAAAAUUUAAAACAAAAAUGUUCGGGAGAUGCCAUAUUUUGCAUAAGUAAAUAUGGUGUAGUAAACUCAUUUUUAUAAAAUUCCUAAGUAAAUUAAAUUGAAAUAAAACAGAAAAGAAAAUAAAUAAAAGAAAGAAAAUACAAAAGAGAAAACAAACAGAAAAAAAGGAAAAGGAGCCCCCCCCACUGGACCCUGGCCCAACUGGGCCAACCCCCAGGCCCAGCCGGCCUGGCCCACCUCGCUCGGUCGCUCCCUUCCCUUCCCUGUUCCCCCGACCGGGGUCGGAACAGGGGCACGUCCCCGCCGCACCACCUCGCCGGCGACGGGGGAGGAUAAGGCCGCCACGCCCCGCCUCCUCGAUCACGCCUCCCACUCGCCCCACUCUCGCCCUCGGUUCCUGCGCCUCUCCCUCCUCCCUCGGAUCCACCUCGCCCUCUCCUUCCCCACCGCAUCCGAGCGCCACCGCCGCCAUGGCUCCGGCCUAGCCACGGCCACUGUGCCCACCUCGCCGCUCCACUGUGUCCCCGAGGUCCGCCGUCGUCCGCUGCUUCGACUGGUGCACUCCGUUGGAGCUCGGAGCCACCGCAACGCCCACGACGCCGCCGUCUUCCUCCUCUGCUCCGACGAGCUUCGCCGCCGAUUCCGCCGCACCGAGCCCUCCUCGAGCACGCUUGAGCACACCUGCAGGAGCACUAUGAGCUCCGCCCCCUUCUCCCCUCUCCUCGCGCUUCUCUUCUUGCCCCGUAGCUGCUCCCACCGUCGUGCCCGAGCUCGUCGCCGCGGUGGUGCUUGCCGCCAUGGCCACGGCCCGCAGAGCUCGUGGCCGACCACCCCGCCGUGCUCAGCACCUCCGCCCGCGCCCACUGCACGCGCCCGCUGCUCCUCCCGCUCCCCCUGGCGCCGUCCUCGACGGGCCAGUGCUUCGGCCGCCGCCGCGAGCUCGUCUCCGGUGAGCUCGUCGCCUCCCGCCUACUGCCGACUGCGGCAGUGGAUGGGCGCGAGCACCAGCCGCCCGUAGAGCCGCUCCGCGCGGCAAGCCGUGUCCCGAAGCCCCAUCGCCGUCGAGCGCCCGAAGGCCACCGCCGCCCAUGCUCCACGCCGACGCCGUUUCCGGCCGCCCCGGGGCCGGCCACCACCGCGGUUAGCUGCGGCUCGCCGCUCCCAUUCGAACGGCGUCGGCCGCGUCCAAUUUGGCCGCCGAACGGCGAAUCCCGACGCACGGCUGCACCCUCCGCCGCGUUUUGGCUCGCCGGAGCCAACUCCGGCGCCGGCCGCCGACGUGGCUGGCCUGGGGCCACCCCAGAGCCAGUGCCAGUGGGCCCCAUGGGUCCCGUUGACCCAGUCAGAUGCUGACUGGGCAGCGCCCAGUCACUGCAUGUGGGCCCCGCGUGGGCCCUGUUGACCAGUCAACUGGUCUGUUGACCGCUGAUGUAGGGUUGACGCCAGGAUGAUGUCACAAUUCAUUUUCUGACGAAUUUAGUAAUUAAAAAAAAUUUCAGAAUAUUGCUGAACCUUUGGAAAAUCGUAGAAAAUAAACCGUAGCUCGGAUGAAAAAACUUUGUACAUGAAAGUUGCUCAGAACGACGAGACGAAACCGAAUACGCGGUCCGUUUGUCAGCCACACGUUCCUAGCAUAGCGAACAUGGAACUUUCCCCCUCCGGUCCGUCUGUCCGUAAACGCGAAACAUCGGGAAUAUUUUCCCGGAUGUUUCCCCCCUUCGUCGGUAUCACCUACUGCCGCGUUAGGACACACCUCGCACUGUUCAUUGUCAUGUCACGCAUCGUCAUGCUUAUGUUUGCAUUGUAUUUACUGUUUCUUCCCUCCUCUUCUCCCCGGUAGACUACGAGACCGACGCUGCUGCUGCCGAUUUCGACUACGGAGUUGACGACCCCUCCUUGCCAGAGCAACCAGGCAAGGCCCCCCCUUGAUCACCAGAUAUCGCCUAUUCUUGUCUAUACUGCUUGCAUUAGAGUAGUGUAGCAUGUUACUGUUGGGAAUCGUAGCAUAAUUUAAAAUUUUCCUACGCUCACCAAGAUGCAUCUAUGGAGUCUACUAGCAACGAGGGGAUAGGAGUGCAUCUACAUACCCUUGUAGAUCGCGAGCGGAAGCGUUCCAAUGAACGUGGAUGACGGAGUUGUACUCGCCGUGAUCCAAAUCACCGAUGACAGAGUGUCGAACGGACGGCACCUCCGCGUUCAACACACGUACGGUGCAGCGACGUCUCCUCCUUCUUGAUCCAGCAAGGGGAAAGGAGAGGUUGAUGGAGAUCCAACAGCACGACGGCGUGGUGGUGGAUGUAGCGGGUCUCCGGCAGGGCUUCGCCAAGCUUCUGCGAGAGAGAGAGAGGUGUUGCAGGGGAGGAGGGAGGCGCCCAAGGCUGUCGGUUGCUGCCCUCCCUCCCCCCCACUUUAUAUAGGCCCCCUUGGGAGGGGGGGCGGCCAAAACCCAUCUAGGGUUAGGGGGGCGGCGGCCAAGGGGUGGAAAGGGGUGCCUUGCCCCCCAAGGCAAGGGGGAAGCUCCCCCCCUAGGGUUCCCAACCCUAGGCGCAUGGGGGGAGACCCAAGGGGGGCGCCCCAGCCCACUAAGGGCUGGUUCCCUUCCACUUUCAGCCCACGGGGCCCUCCGGGAUAGGUGGCCCCACCUGGUGGACCCCCGGGACCCUUCCGGUGGUCCCGGUACAAUACCGGUAACCCCCGAAACUUUCCCGGUGGCCGAAACUUGACUUCCUAUAUAUAAUUCUUCACCUCCGGACCAUUCCGGAACCUCUCGUGACGUCCGGGAUCUCAUCCGGGACUCCGAAAAACUUUCGGGUUUCCGCAUACAUAUAUCUCUACAACCCUAGCGUCACGGGACCUUAAGUGUGUAGACCCUACGGGUUCGGGAGACAUGCAGACAUGACCGAGACGCCUCUCCGGUCAAUAACCAACAGCGGGAUCUGGAUACCCAUGUUGGCUCCCACAUGUUCCACGAUGAUCUCAUCGGAUGAACCACGGUGUCGAGGAUUCAAUCAAUCCGUAUGCAAUUCACUUCGUCAAUCGGUAUGUUACUUGCCCGAGAUUCGAUCGUCGGUAUCCCAAUACCUUGUUCAAUCUCGUUACCGGCAAGUCUCUUUACUCGUACCGCAAUGCAUGAUCCCGUGACUAAAGCCUUAGUCACAUUGAGCUCAUUAUGAUGAUGCAUUAUCGAGUGGGCCCAGAGAUACCUCUCCGUCACACGGAGUGACAAAUCCCAGUCUCGAUCCGUGCCAACCCAACAGACACUUUCGGAGAUACCCGUAAUGCACCUUUAUAGUCACCCAGUUACGUUGUGACGUUUGGCACACCCAAAGCACUCCUACGGUAUCCGGGAGUUGCACAAUCUCAUGGUCUAAGGAAAAGAUACUUGACAUUGGAAAAGUUCUAGCAAACGAAACUACACGAUCUUUUAUGCUAUGCUUAAGAUUGGGUCUUGUCCAUCACAUCAUUCUCCUAAUGAUGUGAUCCCGUUAUCAAUGACAUCCAAUGUCCAUAGUCAGGAAACCAUGACUAUCUAUUGAUCAACGAGCUAGUCAACUAGAGGCUUACUAGGGACACUUUGUGGUCUAUGUAUUCACACAUGUAUUACGAUUUCCGGACAAUACAAUUAUAGCAUGAACAAUAGACAAUUACCAUGAACAAAGAAAUAUAACAAUAACCAUUUAUUAUUGCCUCUAGGGCAUAUUUCCAACAGUCUCCCACUUGCACUAGAGUCAAUAAUCUAGUUACAUUGUGAUGAAUCGAACACCCAUUGUGUCCUGGUGUUGAUCAUGUUUUGCCCUAGGGAGAGGUUUAGUCAAUGGAUCUGCUACAUUCAGGUCCGUGUGUACUUUACAAAUAUCUAUGUCUCCAUUUUGAACACUUUCACGAAUGGAGUUGAAGCGACGCUUGAUAUGCCUGGUUUUCCUGUGAAACCUGGGCUCCUUCACAAGGGCAAUAGCUCCAGUGUUGUCACAGAAGAGAGUCAUUGGGCCCGACGCAUUGGGAAUCACCCCUAGGUCGGUAAUGAACUCCUUCAUCCAGACUGCUUCCUGUGUUGCCUCCGAGGCUGCCAUGUACUCCGCUUCACAUGUAGAUCCCGCCACGACGCUUUGGUUGCAACUGCACCAGCUUACUGCUCCUCCAUUCAAAAUAUACACGUAUCCGGUCUGUGACUUCGAGUCAUCCAGAUCUGUGUCGAAGCUAGCGUCGACGUAACCCUUUACGACGAGCUCUUCAUCACCUCCAUAAACGAGAAACAUAUCCUUAGUCCUCUUCAGGUACUUCAGGAUAUUCUUGACCGUUGUCCAGUGUUCCUUGCCGGGAUUACUUUGGUACCUUCCUACCAAACUUACGGCAAGGUUUACAUCAGGUCUGGUACACAGCAUGGCAUACAUAAUAGACCCUAUGGCCGAGGCAUAGGGGAUGACACUCAUCUCUUCUAUAUCUUCUGCCGUGGUCGGGCAUUGAGCCGUGCUCAAUUGCACACCUUGCAAUACAGGCAAGAACCCCUUCUUGGACUGAUCCAUACUGAACUUCUUCAAUAUCUUGUCAAGGUAUGUACUCUGUGAAAGACCAAUGAGGCGUCUUGAUCUAUCUCUAUAGAUCUUGAUGCCUAAUAUAUAAGCAGCUUCUCCAAGGUCCUUCAUUGAAAAACACUUAUUCAAAUAGGCCUUUAUACUUUUCAAGAAUUCUAUAUCAUUUCCCAUCAAUAGUAUGUCAUCCACAUAUAAUAUGAGAAAUGCUACGGAGCUCCCACUCACUUUCUUGUAAACACAGGCUUCUCCAUAAGUCUGUGUAAACCCAAAUGCUUUGUUCAUCUCAUCAAAGCGAAUGUUCCAACUCCGAGAUGCUUGCACCAGCCCAUAGAUUGAGCGCUGGAGCUUGCACACUUUGUUAGCAUUCUUAGGAUCGACAAAACCUUCCGGCUGCAUCAUAUACAACUCUUCCUUAAGGAAGCCGUUAAGGAAUGCCGUUUUGACGUCCAUCUGCCAUAUCUCAUAAUCAUAGUAUGCGGCAAUUGCUAACAUGAUUCGGACGGACUUCAGCUUCGCUACGGGUGAGAAAGUCUCAUCGUAGUCAACCCCUUGAACUUGUCGAUAACCCUUAGCGACAAGUCGAGCUUUGUAGAUGGUCACAUUACCAUCCGCGUCCGUCUUCUUCUUAAAGAUCCAUUUGUUUUCUAUGGCUCGCCGCUCAUCGGGCAAGUCAGUCAAAGUCCAUACUUUGUUUUCAUACAUGGAUCCUAUCUCGGAUUUCAUGGCUUCUAGCCAUUUGUCGGAAUCCGGGCCCGCCAUCGCUUCUUCAUAGUUCGAAGGUUCACCGUUGUCUAACAACAUGAUUUCCAGGACAGGGUUGCCGUACCACUCUGGUGCGGAACGUGUCCUUGUGGACCUACGAAGUUCAGUAACUUGAUCUGAAGCUUCAUGAUCAUCAUCAUUAACUUCCUCCCCAGUCGGUGUAGGCACCACAGGAACAUUUUCCCGCGCUGCGCUACUUUCCGGUUCGGAAGGGGUGACUAUCACCUCAUCAAGUUCCACUUUCCUCCCACUCAAUUCUUUCGAGAGAAACUCCUUCUCUAGAAAGGACCCGUUCUUGGCACCGAAGAUCUUGCCUUCGGAUCUGAGGUAGAAGGUAUACCCAAUAGUUUCCUUAGGGUAUCCUAUGAAGACGCAUUUUUCCGAUUUGGGUUCGAGCUUUUCAGGUUGAAGUUUCUUGACAUAAGCAUCGCAUCCCCAAACUUUUAGAAACGACAGCUUAGGUUUCUUCCCAAACCAUAAUUCAUACGGUGUCGUCUCAACGGAUUUCGACGGAGCCCUAUUUAAAGUGAAUGCGGCAGUCUCUAAAGCAUAACCCCAAAAUGAGAGCGGUAAAUCGGUAAGAGACAUCAUAGAUCGCACCAUAUCCAAUAGAGUGCGAUUACGACGUUCGGACACACCAUUUCUCUGAGGUGUUCCAGGCGGCGUGAGUUGUGAAACUAUUCCACAUUUCCUUAAGUGUGCACCAAACUCGUGACUUAAAUAUUCUCCACCACGAUCUGAUCGUAAGAAUUUUAUUUUCCUGUCACGUUGAUUCUCAACUUCACUCUAAAAUUCCUUGAACUUUUCAAAGGUUUCAGACUUGUGUUUCAUUAGGUAGACAUACCCAUAUCUACUUAAAUCAUCAGUGAGAGUGAGAACAUAACGAUAUCCUCCGCGAGCCUCAAGACUCAUUGGACCGCACACAUUGGUAUGUAUGAUUUCCAAUAAGUUGGUUGCUCGCUCCAUUGUUCCGGAGAACGGAGUCUUGGUCAUCUUACCCAUGAGGCAUGGUUCGCACGUGUCAAAUGAUUCGUAAUCAAGAGACUCCAAAAGUCCAUCUACAUGGAGCUUCUUCAUGCGCUUGACACCAAUGUGACCAAGGCGGCAGUGCCACAAGUAUGUGGGACUAUCGUUAUCAACUUUACAUCUUUUGGUAUUCACACUAUGAACAUGUGUAACAUCACGUUCGAGAUUCAUCAAAAAUAAACCAUUGACCAGCGGGGCAUGACCAUAAAACAUAUCUCUCAAAUAAAUAGAACAACCAUUAUUCUCGGAUUUAAAUGAGUAGCCAUCUCGAAUUAAACGAGAUCCAGACACAAUGUUCAUGCUCAAAGCUGGCACUAAAUAACAAUUAUUGAGGUUUAAAACUAAUCCCGUGGGUAGAUGCAGAGGUAGCGUGCCGACGGCGAUCACAUCGACCUUGGAACCAUUCCCGACGCGCAUCGUCACCUCGUCCUUUGCCAGUCUCCGUUUGUUCCGUAGUUCCUGCUUUGAGUUACAAAUAUGAGCAACCGCACUGGUAUCAAAUACCCAGGAGCUACUACGAGUACUGGUAAGGUACACAUCAAUUACUUGUAUAUCACAUAUACCUUGGGUGUUGCCGGCCUUCUUCUUGUCCGCUAAAUAUUUGGGGCAGUUUCGCUUCCAGUGACCACUUCCCUUGCAAUAAAAGCACUCAGUCCCGGGCUUGGGUCCAUUCUUUGACUUCUUCCCAGUAACUGGUUUACCGGGCGCGGCAACUCCCUUGUCGUCCUUCUUGAAGUUCUUCUUACCCUUGCCCUUCUUGAACUUGGUGGUUUUAUUCACCAUCAACACUUGAUGUUCUUUUCUGAUCUCCCCUUCCGCUGAUUUCAGCAUUGAAUAUACCUCGGGAAUGGUCUUUUCCAUCCCCUGCAUAUUGGAGUUCAUCACAAAGCUCUUGUAGCUUGGUGGAAGCGACUGGAGGAUUCUGUCAAUGACCGCGUCAUCCGGGAGAUUAACUCCCAGCUGAGACAAGCGGUUGUGCAACCCAGACAUUCUGAGUAUGUGCUCACUAACAGAACUGUUCUCCUCCAUUUUACAGCUGAAGAACUUGUCGGAGACAUCAUAUCUCUCGACCCGGGCAUGAGCUUGAAAAACCAGUUUCAGCUCCUCGAACA